AAUUCAGAACACUAAAUAUCUUCAAAUUGCCUAAAGUAUAUUGAGUUCUUAUUUUGCUUUGAUUGGAUAAGCUUGGAUACCACCAUUUUGUCAAUCUCCUGCUUACACAAUUUUGUCAAUUUUGCACUGCAUUGAACAAGAAUUUUAUAUAAGGACCCUACCAUGGUAAGAAAUGUAUGGUAGCCAUUGUCGCUUGUGUUAUGUUAGAGAGGCGUUUUAAUUUUACAUCAUGCCAAGAAUUCAUGUUAUUUUAGAUUUCCCUCCCAUCCAAAAUUCUUUAUCUAGGAUUAUUAGCACUGGAUCGCUUCUUCUUAAAGAAUGUCCAUAUUUGAUGUAGGACAAUCCUAAGAUAGUUGUCUAUAUGAUCAAAUAGGGUGGGUUAGAGCUAUGAUGUUAUAGGAUUAAAGGAGGGGAACAAGAAUAAAAUUAUAGCACUGGGGAAAAGUUAAAUGAGGUUAGAAAAACAAUAUAGAGAAGAAAGAUUGAAAGCCUUGGAGCUUGUUUUGCUGUGUUUUUGAAAACAGUUCUUGAAAAACGAUUUUUGUGGAUAAUUCUUAAAAACAAUUCUCAAUUUUUUUCUGGAAUAAGAUUCUAUUUGGGAAAGCAAAUAUGAAAAAUAGUUUUCUCAGCUUAUUCUCCACGGGAGUGUUAUGCACUUAUGUGCAAUGUAAAAAUUUUCAAAGUAUUCUCUAUACUUUCAAUGGUUUCUCAUAACACAUAAAAAUGAAAAAGAAAAAAAAAGGAAAGAAAGAAAGAAAGAAAGAAAAAUCUGAAACCACCUCAAAUUUGUCUUAUAUAUAUAUAUAUAUUAACAAAUUUUUAAAAACCAUUUCCAGUAAAAAAAAUUGCCAAACACAUUUUUUAAGUUAAGAGUAGAAAACUAUUUUCAAGAUCAGUUUCUGAACAAAUCCUUAAAGUUUCCUUUAGCCUAGGAGUCUCACCUAGAGGAAAAUUGAUGAAUUAUCACCAUUGAAAAUUCAAGGCAUGCAAGAAAACUUAAUAUUAUUCCUCAUCAGUUUUGUUUUACAACAAUUAGCAUUAUUUAUAGGCUUUCAAAAAUCCUAAAAAUGGAAUAAAAGCAUAAACAUAGAAACUAAAUUGAUAUAGUAACUUAUUAGAACUCUUAAUUCCUUCUUCAAAUUAUUAAAUCUUCUAAAUAAAAAAAUUAUUAAAAAAAUAAAAACUUCUUUUUAAAUUUAGAAACUUAAUAUAUAAAUUUCUUGUAGUAAGAGUCUCUAAUAAAGAAGACUUUUAGAAUUUCUUUUAAGGAGAAAUUCCCAAUAAAAAAGUUUCACUAAAUGAAACUCAAAUACUAACUAAUAACUAAUUAUGAAUUUAGAGAACCAAAAAAACUGAAAAAUACCUAAAUGCUCUUGAUAGAGUAAUUUAGAAACUUUUUUAUUUCGUUCCAUUUCUUUCUUGAGUAGAUUUUGGAGAUUCGACUCCAUAAAUUUUUUUGGAACUGCUGGCUUAAUAUGCAUCCUACUCGAAUGAGGUACAUCACAUCUAUAGUGAUAGUCAUUAUAAAUCUACACAAAUGAAAUUUAUAAGGAAAAAGAAGUGUCUAUAAAUCCUUACAUGUAGAUUCACGUAAGGAAGAGAUAAAGAGAUAAAGCGGGAAAUAGUUAUAUCCAUGUAAUAAGUAUAAUUAGAAAAAAAAAAUUAAAGAAAGAGAAAACAUUAUGAGCUAAAUAGCGGUAUUCAAUGCAAUAAAAGUGUCUCUGACAUGGAUCUCACACCUGUACCAGUGUUGUUUCGUGUUAACAUGGGUAUUUCGGUUGAAAUUAACAUGUCCAUGUAUAACAAGUAUCUAUUAUGCGUUUUGUAAGGCAUGAUUAUUUUCUUCCUAAGUGUGAUUGCUUAUGAAGUUUGAAGUGUGGAGAAAGUAAGCUCAGGUGAAAAGGAUUCGGAAACUCAGAACACAGAGGAUUUGUUGAAAUAUCGCCCAAACCCAGACAUGCUGAUUAGCAAGACAGAUAUGACUUUUGAGGCAAAUAGAGAUUAUUGUUCUAUCUUGGAGGAGACUGAUCUGUGCUAAUGAAGAAAUAGAGAGAAAGAAGAAACAAUCUCCAUCUAUGACAAGGGAAAACAAGAUGAAGGAAGGUCCAAGGGGUGGAAGAAGAUGGCUUGUUGUGGAGUCUAAAUCUUUUGAGCUUUUGAUUGAUGAUGUAGGAGGAAAGUCGACAGGUGCAUUUGGGAGAGAUGCAGAGGACUAACCUCUUGGAUCAGAUUUGGGGAUGCAAGCCUUAGUUGUUUGUUGGUUGGAGUUGAGACUUGCUGUAGAGGUAGUGAUGAUAGAAGCUGGUCCCUUGUUUGGGAGGAGGAGGGAAGGAAGUAUAGUUUGGAGCGUCGUUCAAAUGAGGUGGGAAGAUUUAUCCUUUGCUUAGUUUGUGAUAUAGAGGCAAAACGCUUUUGCCUAAUUUUUCCAGAAGGGAAGGGGUUGUUUGGUGGUUGGAAUAUUUUGGCAGAGAAGUUGAGAGGGGUUGGGGUAGUUCCCACUGGAGGUUUAAAGGAUCCUCUUUCCAUUGAGGUGCUUAUGAAGGAAAAAGAACUAAUACCAAGGACCUAUGCGGAUGUUGCAAAAUAAAAAACGGGUAGGUUAGGAGAUAAGGUCUGGUUGGAGUUGGGAAGGAGGAAGAUGCAUGGAAGACUAGAGCAGUUGGAUCGCUGUUUAGUGGGUAGAUGGGAAAAUGUUUUGAUCCCUUCCCCUGAGUUGGAUUUUCUGAAAAAUUGGGUUGUUCAAGCUUGGCUCCUCAAAGGGAGGUUGAACAUAGUUGUGUUGGGAAGAGGACUCUUGCUUUUUGAGUUUUAGUUGUUAAGUGAGGCCGAGCGUGUUCUUGCUAGAGAGAAGAGAAGGGUGAAAGACAAUGUCUUAUUUAUGGAAAAAUGGUACCCGGAGGUGGGGUGCUUUUGUACUGGAACCAACGUAAACGAGGCUUGGGUGAGAGUGUUGGGUCUUCCUCUUCACUUUUGGAGCCGCUAGGUGUUUAAAUUGAUAGGUGAUGGUUGUGGUGGUUUCAUAGCAGUGGACGAAAACACAGAUUCUAUGGCAAGUUGCAAUGGGCUAGAAUUUUGGUGAAGGUGGUUGGUAGGGACUUACCUACCUCUGUUCAGAUUGGGGUUGGGGCAAGGUGUUUCUUAGUCCAUUUGUGGUGGGAAUCCCUGCCUUGGUUCUCUCAAGUGGUGCUGGAGGGAAGUAUUCUUAGGGAGGGGGUUCCAGUGGAUGAAGAAGAAGCAGGGGGAAGACCACGUGUCGCGUGUAGUGGAAGAGUGUUGGAGAAGGAGGUGCAGUCCAAGGUGCAGACUUAAGUACAAGUUGUGCCGCCUUGUGGAAGUUCUUCAAAAAGUGCUACAGGCUUUUCCUCUGACUACUCUGCAGGGGGGUCUAGUCCUGAGGUAAUUGAUGGAGAAGAAAGCCUAAGGAAUAGGGGUCAAGGUGCAAGGGGUGUAGCCAAAGUGGGUGGCCAUGGUUUUGGGCCUGAUCUUUGGGAGGCCCAGAAUAGAAGUGGGCUAGGGGAGGGUUUUCAUGAGACUGCUCUAGUGGAGGCCCCGCUGCAAGGUAUGGAUAGCGAUCCAAGGCCCAUCUUGUUAAAAGAAUGGGUGGUGGGUUGUGAAGAGAGGCCCUUUUUCCUGAAGGGUUCUUUAGUGGGCUGCGAGGGGUUCUCCGAAAUGGGCUUCGGGCUUGGAGUAGGGGGCUUAAAAGGAGAUAGGGCUCUUUUCUCUUCGGCGGUGGCAGAGAUGGGCUUCAGAGGAGGAUUUGCAUGCUCAAGUUAGAGGAUAAGGGGCUCGCUUGCUUUCUCGGAGGGGCUAUGAGGGAAUCAGAGUCUCUUACGAUGAACGCUAGAGCGAAGAUCAUUGAUGAAGCGUUGGCAGUUGAGGCAUCUAGGUACGAUUCCUUUCCCGCUGUCUUUGGGGGGGAUCGGGACUUCUUCUCUUCUUCUCCUUCCUCUGGGUUUGAUCGGGCUUUGGUGGUGGGGGAUUUUUCUAGCUCGGGAGGGGUAGACACCGUUGAAGGAGUCGGUUUUCAGGCUCCGUUGUGUGUUGUGUUGACUGAUGGAAGUCCGUGGGUGAUGGAAACAUAAGGGGGAAAGUCUUUGGCUGAGAUUAGAGUAAGAGAAGAAGUUGAUGAGCCCGAGUUUGAUGAGGCACGACAGAAAAGGGAGGUUUCUGGCAGUAGUUGGGAUGAUAGUAGUUUGACAAAGUUUAGCAAAUCUUUGGGGUUUACAACAGAAGGUGUUGAAGGGGAAAUCUUAAAAUUGCUUCUAAGAUUGAAAAACAGAAGAGACCAAGGUAAGAAUAGGGGAACUUUAGGGACGACUAGGUUUGAUCGAGAAGUAAAAAAGUUAGAAUGUUCGAUUAAUUAUGACGGAGNNNNNNNNNNNNNNNNNNNNNNNNNNNNNNNNNNNNNNNNNNNNNNNNNNNNNNNNNNNNNNNNNNNNNNNNNNNNNNNNNNNNNNNNNNNNNNNNNNNNNNNNNNNNNNNNNNNNNNNNNNNNNNNNNNNNNNNNNNNNNNNNNNNNNNNNNNNNNNNNNNNNNNNNNNNNNNNNNNNNNNNNNNNNNNNNNNNNNNNNNNNNNNNNNNNNNNNNNNNNNNNNNNNNNNNNNNNNNNNNNNNNNNNNNNNNNNNNNNNNNNNNNNNNNNNNNNNNNNNNNNNNNNNNNNNNNNNNNNNNNNNNNNNNNNNNNNNNNNNNNNNNNNNNNNNNNNNNNNNNNNNNNNNNNNNNNNNNNNNNNNNNNNNNNNNNNNNNNNNNNNNNNNNNNNNNNNNNNNNNNNNNNNNNNNNNNNNNNNNNNNNNNNNNNNNNNNNNNNNNNNNNNNNNNNNNNNNNNNNNNNNNNNNNNNNNNNNNNNNNNNNNNNNNNNNNNNNNNNNNNNNNNNNNNNNNNNNNNNNNNNNNNNNNNNNNNNNNNNNNNNNNNNNNNNNNNNNNNNNNNNNNNNNNNNNNNNNNNNNNNNNNNNNNNNNNNNNNNNNNNNNNNNNNNNNNNNNNNNNNNNNNNNNNNNNNNNNNNNNNNNNNNNNNNNNNNNNNNNNNNNNNNNNNNNNNNNNNNNNNNNNNNNNNNNNNNNNNNNNNNNNNNNNNNNNNNNNNNNNNNNNNNNNNNNNNNNNNNNNNNNNNNNNNNNNNNNNNNNNNNNNNNNNNNNNNNNNNNNNNNNNNNNNNNNNNNNNNNNNNNNNNNNNNNNNNNNNNNNNNNNNNNNNNNNNNNNNNNNNNNNNNNNNNNNNNNNNNNNNNNNNNNNNNNNNNNNNNNNNNNNNNNNNNNNNNNNNNNNNNNNNNNNNNNNNNNNNNNNNNNNNNNNNNNNNNNNNNNNNNNNNNNNNNNNNNNNNNNNNNNNNNNNNNNNNNNNNNNNNNNNNNNNNNNNNNNNNNNNNNNNNNNNNNNNNNNNNNNNNNNNNNNNNNNNNNNNNNNNNNNNNNNNNNNNNNNNNNNNNNNNNNNNNNNNNNNNNNNNNNNNNNNNNNNNNNNNNNNNNNNNNNNNNNNNNNNNNNNNNNNNNNNNNNNNNNNNNNNNNNNNNNNNNNNNNNNNNNNNNNNNNNNNNNNNNNNNNNNNNNNNNNNNNNNNNNNNNAGGAGGGUGUCUCCGUCAAUGAGAAGAUUCUCGGAGGUGAUCGAUAAUCUGGAUUGAGGGAUCUCCCUCUUCAGGGGGGCCCGUUUACUUGGAGUGGUUGGUUGAACAACCAAGCCAUGUCAAGAUUGGAUUAGUUUUUGGUGUAGGAGGACUGGGAGGGCCAUUUUAGUGGGGUGGUGCAAUGUACUCUUCCUAGACUAGUGUCUAAUCACUUUCUCAUCCUGUUGGAUGGGGGAGGGGUGAGGAGGGGGCCAACCCCUUUUCGGUUUGAAAAUAUGUGGUUGAAGGAGGAGGGUUUUUAAGGAUCUACGGAAGGGAUGGUGGCAAGGUUUAAGUUUUAGUGGAUCCUCUAGCUUCAUCCUUGCAGAGAAAUUAAAGGCUCUGAAGGCUAUUUUAAAAAUUUGGAAUGAGGAUGUUUUUGGGAAGGCGGAGGUGAAUAAGAGAUUGGCCUUGGACAAAGUGGCUCUCUAGGAUGCUCAGGAGAAGUUGCGUUCUUUAUCUUUGGAGGAGCUGGAAGCUAGAAAUGAAGCAAAGGGGGAUUAUAAGAAAUGGGCUCUUAUGGAGGAGAUUUCUUAGAGACAAAAAUCAAGAGAAGCAUGGUUGAGGGAGGCUUAUAGAAAUACGAGCUUCUUUCAUAGGAUGGCCAACUCCCAUAGAAGGAGAAAUUGUUUGUCUAAGAUUAAAAUAAAUGGAACGUGGUUAAUAGAAGAGCAGGAUAUUAAGGGGGGUGUGGUCAGUGCUUUCAAGGACCUUUUGACAAAUCAUGGUGAUUGGCAUCCAACUUUGGAAGGUUUGAAAUUUGAUAGAAUUGACGUUGAGGAAGCAGCUAUAUUGGAGGAGGUAUUUACAGAGGAAGAGGUUUUUUCCGUUCUCUCAGAUUUGAACGGGGAUAAGGCUCUUGGUCCAGAUGGAUUCUCUCUAAGUUUCUGGCAGUUCAACUGGGAUUUUGUGAACGAAGAGGUUAUGGGUUUUUUGAAAGAGUUCCAUGAGCAUUGUAGAUUUGUAAGGAGUUUGAAUUCCACUUUCCUGGUUCUAAUCCCAAAAAACCCGGGCAUGGAGGACCUUAGAGAUUUCAGAAUGAUUAGUUUGGUGGGAGGCUUGUAUAAAUUGUUGGCAAAAGUGCUAGCUAAUAGGCUUAAGAAGGUAGUGGGAAAGGUGGUGUCUUCAGCUCAAAACGCUUUCGUUGAAGGAAGACAAAUUCUUGAUGCUGCCUUAAUUGCCAAUGAGGCAAUAGACUCUUUGUUGAAACGAAAUGAGAGUGGGGUGUUGUGCAAGUUGGAUAUAGCGAAGGCAUAUGAUCACUUAAACUGGAAUUUUUUGUUGUUUGUGAUGCAAAGAAUGGGUUUUGGAGAGAAGUGGAUUGGUUGGAUUUCCUGGUGCAUUUUCACAGCAACGUCUUUUGUUUUGAUCAAUGGCACCCCGGCGGGAUUCUUCAAUAGUUCAAGGGGGCUACGUUAGGGGGAUCCACUUUCUCCCUACUUAUUUGUGAUCGGGAUGGAGGCUCUUAGUAGGCUCAUCUUUAGAGCAGUGAGGGAGGGAGGGUAUCUUUCAGGCUGCAAGAUAAAGGAAAGAAGUGGUGAUGAGGUUUUGGUCUCUCAUUUGUUGUUCGCUGAUGAUACAUUAGUCUUUUGUGAAGCUUCCCAAGAUCAGAUGGCUUACUUAAGCUGGUUGUUGAUGUGGUUUGAAGCCAUCUCAGGUUUGAGAAUCAACUUGGAUAAGAGUGAAAUUUUGCCGGUGGGGAGAGUAGAGAAUCUGGAGGUUUUGGCUCUUGAGGUUGGUUGUAAAGUGGGAAGGCUACCAACUUCUUACUUGGGGCUUCCUUUGGGUGCGCAUCAUAAGUCCGUGGUUGUUUGGGAUGGGGUGGAAGAGAGUUUUCGGAAAAGGCUUGCCAUGUGGAAAGGACAAUUUAUCUCUAAAGGAGGGAGAAUCACCUUAAUUCAAAGCACACUGUCUAAUAUGCCCAUCUAUUUGAUGCCCUUAUUGCGGAUCCCAAGAGUGGUUAGUUUAAGAUUGGAAAAGAUUUAAAGGGUUUUUUUGUGGGGAGGGGGUGCUUUGGAGAGGAAGUCUCAUCUAGUAAAUUGGGAUACCGUAUAUUUGGACAAAAAGAAGGGUGGUUUGGGAGUUAGACGACUUUCUACUCUCAAUAGGCCCUGUUAUGUAAGUGGAACUGGUGCUUUGCGAAUGAAAGAGAGACUCUUUGGAGGAAUGUCAUUAGUAGGAAGUUUGGGGAGGAAGAAGGGGGUUGGUAUACUAGAGAAGUUAGGGAGGGUAUUGGAGUAGGCUUAUGGAAGGAAAUAAGGAAGGAAGGGUCUCUUUUGCAAAACAAAGUUGUAUUUUCUGUGGGGGAUGGUAGAAAGGUGAAAUUUUGGAAAGAUAAUUGGUGUGGGAACUUCGCUCUUUGUAAUUCUUUUCCCUCUUUGUAUGCAUUUGCGUCUUAUAAAGAGGCUUGGUUAGUGGAGUUGUGGGACUCUUUGGGAGAGGAAGGGGUUUGGAGCCCUAGGUUCUCUAGGCCCUUCAAUGACUGGGAGGUGGAGGAGGUGGAGAGAUUACUUUUGACAAUCCGGGGAAGGAGGCUUAAUCCUCAUUUGGAAGAUAGAGUGCUGUGGAAAGAGACUAAGGAUGAGAUUUUCUCAAUUAAAUCUCUUUAUAGUGCUCUAGUUUCAAGAAGUGUUGUUCAGUUUCCUAAUAGCAUUAUUUGGAGUCCCUGUGUUUCUACCAAAGUUGGUUUUUUUGUUUGGGAAGCCUCUUGGGGUAAGGUGUUAACUUUGGAUCAACUUAAAAAGUGGGGGUGGAUUUUAGCUAAUAGAUGCUUCCUUUGUUGUGUGGAAGAAGAGUCUAUUGAUCAUAUUCUUAUUCAUUGCACUAAGGCAAAAGUUUUAUGGGAGUUAUUGUUUGCUCUUUUUGGAGGUACUUGGGUUCUUCCUCUUUCGGUUAGAGAUACCCUUCUUGGUUGCCGUGGUUUUAAUAUGGACAAGAAGCGUAGAAAUGUGUGGAAGGCAGCCCCUUUGUGUCUUUUUUGGGCGGUUUGGAAGGAAAGAAAUAUGAUUGCUUUUGAAAAUGAGGAGCUUUCGAUUCAUAGGUUGAAAAUUUCUUUUGUAUGUAAUCUUUGGUUUUGGACUAAGUUGGUUGUAAAUGAAGGUCCUCUUCCUUUAUUCAGUUUUUUUGAUUGGUUAGGUUCUAGAUGAGGGCUGGUGAUAUUUGUUUCCCCUCUUCUUUUGUUCGUGCCUUCUGGCACCUCUUGUGUACCCCCUGUAUGCUUUUGGGUUAGCCUUAAGGUACCCUUUUUCUAAUAUAUUUCUUUCUCUGUGUUUUUACUUAUAAAAAAAAAAGUGUGAUUGCCAAGGUUUUUUUUUUUUUUUUUGACUUUUUUUUUCUUUUCAUUUUUAACCCUUUCAUUUUGGUUUAUAAUUCAAGAUAUUUUUGUAGUGCUGAAAAUCUAAGUGCAUGUCUAGUAACCUUUUCGAAAAUGGUUUUCAAAAAGUAGUUUCCAAGAAUAGUUUUGAGAACAAUUUUCAAAAACAAUUCUUGUGAAUAGUUCUUAAAAACAAUUCUUAAUUAUUUUUAGGAACAAAAUUCUGUUUGUGAACUCAAAUAAGAAAAAUGGUUUUAUCCACUCAUUAUUCAUGAAGGUAUUAUGCACUUAUGUACAAUGCAAAAUUCCCAAAUUUCAAUUGUUUUUCAGAACGCUCUACCAAAAAAAACAAAACUGAAGACAGCACAUAAUUGUUCUAAAAAACAUGUUUUUAGAAUAAAUUCUCAAAAAACUAUUUUCUAUCAAAAAUUUGCCAAGCAUGGUUUUUGAGUUAAAAAUUCUAAAGACUACUGAGUUCCCAAACUGGCCUUAAGAUCCUAUGGCAUGUAUUUUUGUAAUCUUAGUUGAUAAUGUAUACAGGUGAGAAGGUGUAGAGAAGUCUAGUUAGACAAACCUAAACCUCUCUAAAAUUUCUCUUUCUCCUUUCUCCUCAUCUUUUUCCUAGCCUUAGUCCCAAUCUCACAAGUUUUACUUCUAACUCGAUAUCAAAGUACCAAUCAAUCCUAGACUUUAUUGUAAAUUGGAUAGAUCAUUUCUAAAAUAUAAUAACAAAAUAAAAAUAUUCUGAAAUUUCUGUGGUUGAACAGAUUGAUUUUUCUGUUAGUGGUAGUGCCAUUUGCCCAUUUAUUUGAGGCCAUUUAGUUGAACUUUUAUAUAUCUCUAUGAUUUUUAUGAAUUUCAAUCAUGUUUUUGUUCUGAAAUUUGAGGAGAAAUGAUCCCAUUGACAACAUGAUGAUAGACUAAUGAAUCCUUCGUUUAAGGUUAGGCAUCAUUUGCUUUACUCGUUGGAAUUAAGUUUUUCUAAGUUGGGGAGAAUGGUGGGUAACAAUAUUCAGCAGGAAUAAUUUAUUUUAUUAGAAGUGAUUUAGUAGUUUUUUUUGGGGUCAAUUUUCUCGUUGUUUUACUUUCUAAUUUGAUUUAAAAGGGAGUCAUGUUCCUACUUUAGUCUUACUAGGAAAAGAAGUUCCACGAGUCUAUAUAAACUUAUGUAAAUUUUAAUGAAUAGAACUUAUUAUGAAGAACUAGGUAGCUUCUUAAGGUGUGAUGACCUUCUCUAGGUAUGAUUGCCUAGGAAUCUUGGUGUGAUUGCCAAGAUCUAUUUUUGUCGUUUCAUUUUACUUAUGUAUGAUUGCUUAGGAAACUUUAGGUGUAAUUGCAUAGAAACCUUUGUGUGGUUGCCAUGGGUCUGUCUUUUCUUUUCUUUCUUUUUCUUGUAUCUUCUUAGAUCCAUCAUCUCAUUAUACAACAAAAGGAAUUUUUAAAUAGUGCUGGAUUUUUUUUAUGGUUCUGUAUCAAAGUUAUUUUUUUCUUCUAUUUUUGCAACUUUACAUUUUUCUUGCUCUUUUAGUCUUUUUCUGCUUUAGCUUUCAUUAUGCAUUGCUUUGUCAUCAAUUUUAGUUUUCUGCUCUAGUGUUUGUUCCUUGCUGUGAAGGAUUUUAAUAGCUUGUUUUUUUAGGUUUUUCUGAUCUUUCCUCACCUUGUAAAUCUUCCGCUGGAAAAGUUCCAAGCGAUACUUGUUCAUACACUUCAGGUAUUUUUCUUUCCAAGGUUCUCCUAGAUACCAUUGAUAUUCUCUAGUAUUUGGUGAUUGCUCUAAUCAUCUAAUCAGUAUAUUUGUGGGAGCAUUAUAGAUUACAUAUGCAGAUUGUGGCAUCUCUUAGAAUUGUCUAAGAAAGAGUGUAUUUCUUGACUCCGGUUUGAGUUAAACAGUGCAUAUUAGAAUGUAAACUUUCAGGCACUGAACAUUUGUAAUCUUGCAUUCCCAUUUUGAACUUCUAGCACUUGCAUUUGAUAUUACUAAUGCCAUGCCUUUCAUAUCUGUUGCUUUCCUGGUUUAUCUAUGUAAUUGUUUCAUCUAGAGCUUUGUCUCAAACUUUCCUUUCUUUUUAGCUGUCUUAAAUUCAUUUUAGCAAUUGACCUUUUUAUUCAUAACAUUAUAUUUAUCACAAACAGUUUAUUGGUUGCUAAAUGAAGCUGAAGUCCUCUGUUGAAAGGGCGAGGCUGGAGGAGCCUUUUUCUGAGCAGGAGGUUUCCAAGGCUCUUAAGGGCUUUAGUGGGGAUAAAGUGCUUGGGCCUGAUGGUUUUUCUAUGGCUUUUUGACAAUCCUCAUGGGGGUUUGUGAAGGAGGAGGUCAUGGGGUUUUUCAGGGAGUUUCAUGAUCACAAUUGUUUUAUCAGAAGAAUGCAACUUUCCUAGUCUUGAUCCCAAAAAAGGGGGUGUGGAAGAUUUAAGGGAUUUCAUGCCAAUUAGUUUGGUGGGAGGGCUGUACAAGUGGCUGGCUAAAGUGUUAGCCAAUGGGUUAAAGCUGGUAGUGGGUAAGGUGGUCUCCAAGGCCCAAAAUGCCUUUGUGGAGGGUAGACAAAUUCUGGAUGCUGCCCUUGUUGCUAAUGAAGUCAUAGAUUUGAUUUUGAAGAGUAAUGAGGGGGUGGUGUUGUGCAAGCUUGAUAUAGAAAAGGCGUAUGAUCAUGUAGAUUGGUCCUUGCUUUCAAUUAUGGAUAUGAUGGGUUUUGGGGAGAUAUGGCUCUGGUGAAUGCAGUGGUGCAUCUCUACAACGAGUUUUUCCGUUUUGGUUAACGAGACUUCCUCAGGAUUCUUCCAAAGUUCUAGAGGUUUAAGGCAGGGAGACCCACUCUCACUGUACUUAUUUGUGAUUGCCAUGGAGGCACUUAGCUGCAUUCUAAGGAGAGCUUUAAGUGGGGGUUUUUUGUCAGCUUGUAAGGUGAGGGUUAGAGGGGGUGAAGGGGCUCAUGUGUCCCACUUAUUAUUCGUCGAUGAUACUUUGGUUUUCUAUGGGGCUUCUCAAGAUUAGAUGAAGUAUUUAAGUUGGACUCUAAUGUGGUUUGAGGCCAUUUCGGGGUUGAGAAUUAAUUUGGAUAAAAGUGAGUUAACCCCAUGGGAUGUGUGGAAAAUGUGGAAGCUUUGGCUGCAGAACUUGGUUGUAAGGUUGAGAGUCUCCCCUCUUAUUUGGGAUUGCCUUUGGGAGCUCCUUUUAAGUCCAUGGUUGCAUGGGAUGGAGUGGAGGAGAGGUUUUGAAAGAGACUAGCAAUGUGGAAGAGACAAUACAUCUCUAAAGGAGGGAGGCUCACUUUGAUUUGGAGUACUUUGGCUAACUUGCCCAUUUAUUUCAUGUUUGAGCUUACUUUGCCUAGGACGGUCAAAUGGAGGUUGAAGCAAAUUCAAAGAGAUUUUUUGUGGGGAGGUGGGGCUCUUGAGCGGAAACCUCAUCUUGUAAGAUGGGCGCUUGUUUGCUUAGACAAAAGAAAAGGAGAUUUGGGGGUGAAGUGUCUUUCUUCUCUUAAUAAGGCACUUUUGUGAAAAUGGAGUUGGAGGUUUGCAAAUGAGAGAGGGGCCUUGUGGAAUCAAGUGAUUAGGGGAAAGUAUGGGAGGAACAAGGGGGUUGGUGCUCCAAGGAAGUGAGGGGUGGGUAUGGCGUGGGGUUGUGGAAAGCAAUUAGGAGGGAGUGGGAUGUUGUAAGUUGUAAACUCUCCUUUGUGGUGGGCAAUGGUUAGAGGGUGAGAUUUUGGAAGGAUAGAUGGUGUGGAGAUUCACCUUUUUGUGUUGCUUUUCCUACUUUGUUUGCUAUAGAUACGUUGAAGGACGCCGGGGUAAAAGAUGUGUGGAGUUUCAUUGAGGGAGGGGGGAGUUGGAGCCCGCAUUUUGCUAGACCCUUAAAUGAUUGGGAGAUGGAUGAGGCGGAUAGUUUUUUAUUGGGUCUUAAUGGGAAGAGUGUUUAGUGGGAUAUGUAAGAUAGAGUGCUUUGGAUAGAGACUAAAUGUGGGAAGUUCUCUGUUAAGUCUCUCUACAAAGCUCUAGAAUCUAACCCAUCGGCCUCUUUCCCAUCGAUUGUCAUUUGGAAUUCAUGUGUGCAGCCCAUGGGGAGGGGGGAGUUGGAGCCCGCAUUUCUUUAGACCCUUCAACGAUUGGGAGAUCGAUGAGGCGAAUAGUUUUUUGUUGGGUCUCAAUGGGAAGAGUGUUCAGUGGGAUGUGGAAGAUAGAGUGCUUUGGAUAGAGACUAAAUGUGGGAAGUUCUCUGUUAAAUCUCUCUCUACAAAGCCCUAGAAUCUAGCCCAUCAGCCUCUUCCCAUCGAUUGUCAUUUGGAAUUCAUGUGUGCAGCCCAAGUGAGUUUUUUUUGGGUGGGAAGCAACUUGGGGGAAGGCUCUUACUUUGGACCAGCUUCAGAAAAGAGGAUGGCCUCUAGCGAAUAGAUGCUACCUUUGCCAAAUGCAUGAGGAAUCGAUAGAUCACAUCCUCCUCCACUGUGCCAAGACAAGGACUAUUUGAGCGUUGUUUUUCACUGUCUUCGGGGUGCAGUGGCUGCUGCCAGCCUCUGUUAAAAUGACACUCUUGGGUUGGAACAGAUCUUUUGUGGGAGAAAAGAGAGAGGAAGUUUUGAGAGCAGACCUUUUAUGUAUUUUUUGGACUGUUUAGAAGGCAAGGAACAAAAUUUUGUUUGAAGAUGUUGUGCUAUCCAUUCAAAAACUUAAGAGUUCUUUUAUUUAUCUUCUUUGGUCGGAGACGAAAUUGUUCCUAAAAGAUGGUUCUUCGACUUUAGUUGGUUUCAUUGAUUGGAUAGGUUCUUGUCGAGGGUGGUCUUUUUUGGCCCCUCCGCUUUUGAAGGCUGUUUUUUGUCCCAGCCGGGGAGGGGGGUGCUCCUAUGCUGUAUCUUUUUGAGUCACUAUUUUAGCGUCUCUUUUCAAUACAAUUUCUUCUUUUUUACUUAUCAAAAAAAAAAUUUAUCAUAAACAGUUUAACUCAGUAUCUUAUUGUCAGUAACAGUGUAUAUGUUUCUGAGUUGACCAAAAUGUUUUUGUUGUUUACCUUGGGUCCUCUUCGUGUGUUUGAAUUCUUGCUUUGCUUAUUGAUGCACAUAUAUUUCGUUAUUUUUCUCCAGAGAAGUUAUUACCCAGUUUAAACAAUCUGUUUGUAAGGAACUCUCCAGAAGAGCCUUUACUCGAGAGGAACUGCCAACAGACACAUUUACUUCUGAAUUUAUUUAACAUUCAGUUUGCUUGUAGAAUGCAUAUGAAUAUCUAAGUUUCAUCUUGUAUUUCUUCAUUUUCUGAAUUCUGUUAAAACUUACCGGAAAUGUAUUUGAACAGGGUUCAUCUCAUUCUGGUCCAGUGCUCACUCCAGCUGAAGUUUUAAUUGCUAUCCAUGGGAUUGAUCCUGAUAGAGAUGGAAUUCCGCUGAAGAAGGCAUAUAUUCUUCCUUUCUUCCCAUCUUUUCCCCAAAGCUGACCAAGUAACACAGCUAACCAAUAUUAAUCUAUGGGCAGGUCACAGAUGCAUGCAAUACUUGUUUUGAGCAGCGGCAGAUAUUCACUCAACAGGUUCUUGCAAAGGUCUUGAAUCAAUUGGUUUGUAUCACUGGAAACUUAUAACUUUGUCAACAACACCUUUAACUACUACUUGAAUUCACAAAUGACCAAGAAUGUUCCCAUCAGGUUGAGCAGAUUCCUCUUCCCUUAUUAUUCAUGCGUACAGUACUACAAGCUAUAGGUGCUUUUCCUGCCCUGGUAAAAACUUUAAAACCUUCUACAUUAUGGCGCUUGGUAAUUGCAUGAUUUUAUUUAUAAAUGAUUUAUUUCAAUAUUACUGAUGCAUAUUGGUUGUUAGGUAAAUAAACAAAUAUUUUAGCAGCACAUACUGAAAGAAGAUUUCAGAUUUUAGACCUAUUAGCUUGAUCACUUGUCUCUAUAAGGUAAUAGCCAAAGUUCUAUCAGGGCGAUUAAGAGGAGUACUACACGAAACUAUCCACUCUACUCAAGGUGCUUUUGUUCAAGGGAGACAAAUUUUGGAUGCAGUUCUUAUAGCCAAUGAGAUAGUGGAUGAGAAAAGGUGAUCAGGGGAGGAAGGAGUUGUCUUCAAAAUUGACUUUGAAAAGGCUUAUGACCAUGUGAAUUGGGAUUUUUUGGAUCACAUGUUGGAGAAGAAGGGGUUUAGUCCUAAAUGGAGGAAUUGGAUGAGAGGUUGUUUGUCUUCGGUCUCUUAUGCUAUUUUAGUGAAUGGAAAUGACAAAGGGUGGGUCAAGGCAUCUAGAGGAUUAAGGCAAGGUGACCCUUUAUCCCCUUUUUUGUUCACUAUUGUCGCAGAUGUGUUGAGCAGAAUGAUGUUGAGAGCUGAGGAAAAAAGUAUGUUGAAGGGUUUCAAGGUAGGUAGAAAUAGAAUUAGGGUGUCCCAUUUGCAAUUCGUAGAUGAUACCAUCUUCUUUUCUAACUCUUAUGCGGAAGAGCUGCAAACUCUCAAGAGUUUAUUGUUAGUGUUUGUGCAAAUUUUUGGGCUUAAGGUCAAUCUUGACAAGAGUAAUCUUUUUGGCAUCAACCUUGAUCAUAAUCAUCUCUCUAGGUUAGCCUUGUUGCUUGAUUGCAAGGCUUCUGAUUGGCCUAUACUCUACCUGGGUCUUCUUUUGGGAGGGAAUCCAAUUGCUUGCGGAUUCUGGGAUCUAGUGAUUGAGAGAAUCUCAAGGAGAUUAGACGGGUGACAAAAAGGCUUACUUGUCUUUCGGUGGUAGGAUAACUCUUAUCCACUCUUGCCUUUCCCACAUUCCUAGCUAUUUUCUCUCUCUGUUUAAGAUUCCCGCUUCAGUGGUUGCAAAAAUUGAGAGAUUGCAAAGGGAUUUCCUUUGGUCAAGGGUUGGGGAAGGUAAGAGAGAUCAUCUUGUUAGUUGGGAUGCAGUGUGUAAGCCGAGGGUAAAAGGGGGUUUAGGGUUUGGGAAGAUUUCUUUAGGGAAUCUCGCUCUUUUAGGGAAGUGGUUGUGGAGGUAUCCUAGGGAGAGUACAACUUUGUGGCAUUAGGUCAUUCUAAGCAUUUAUGGGACACAUUCAAAUGGUUGGGAUGCCAACACUUUAGUCAGAUGGUCACAUCGUUGUCCUUGGAAGGCUAUUGCACAAGUAUACUCGGUUUGUGGUAGGAGAUGGGGAAAAAAUUUGCUUUUGGGAAGAUUUGUAGUGGGGGACUAGCCUUUGAAAUCCCAAUAUCCAAGACUAUUUAGAGUAGUCACGGAUAAAAAUAUUUCUAUAUCUUCAAUUCUCGGUUAUGUUCGCCUUUUCUCUUGGAACUUUAAUUUCCGUUGUAAUCUAUCCGAUUCCGAGAUCGAAGAUCUAGGCUGCCUCAUGCAAUCUCUUGAUUGUGCGCAUUUAUCCACUUCGGCUUCAGAUGCGAGAUCCUGGUCUUUAUCUUCUUCAGGAUUGUUUACAGUCAAGUCCUUCUUUAUAGCCUUGUCCGAAAUGCCCGAUUUAUCUCCACUUUUCUCUACUAAGUUUGUAUGGAAUUCUCAAAUCCCUUUCAAAGUCAAGUCCUUUGUCUGGUUAGUGGCACACAAGAAGGUAAAUACUAAUGACUUGCUACAAUUGAGAAGACCCUACAAAACUCUUAGUCCUGACAUUUGUAAGUUGUGCAUAAAGUAAGGAGAAUCAGCAGAUCAUCUUUUCCUACAUUGUUCUUCGUCAAUGGGGUUGUGACACAAAUUAUUUCAGUUAGCCAAGAUGGAUUGGGUUCCUCCGAGAAGCAUUUCAGACAUGAUGUCCAUCAAUUAUAAAGGUUUUGGCACUUCCAAGAGAGGGAUAGUUUUGUGGCAAAAUGCGUGCAUUACUUUAAUUUGGGUUGUGUGGCAGGAAAGAAAUGCUAAGAUAUUUGAGGAUAAAGUUAGGAAUUCAGAGAAUCUAUGGGAUUCCAUUCACUUCCUUGCUCCUCUUUGGGCUUUCUGUUCCGUGGUUUUUAAGGGCAUUCCCUUUAACGUGUUACAAAUAGAUUGGCUAGCAGUGUGUAGUUCCAAUGGGAUGGUCUAGCCAAAAGAGCUUGUUCGUAGUUUUCAUAGUGUAGUUUCUUGAUCUUUUAUUGUGUUAUUUAGUUUUAUCUUUGGUGGGAGGAUUCUUCAUCCUUCUUUUUCUAUCAUUAUAUAUAUUUGUUGUUUCCUAUCAAAAAAAAAAAAAAAAAUUAUUGUGGCUCCAUUGGAUUGACUAAUUUAUUGACAAGUGACUCCCAAUCUCUAAUAACUGUUCAAGUUUUUGAAUAAUGUUGUUUUAUUUAUUAAUGAUUUCCUAAUGGUUAAUUAAGUUUUUAUAUUAGUAUUUAUAUAAGGUUAAUUUCAUUGAUCUUUCCUAAGAUUUUGGCUAAAUAACAAAUGAGUUGGGUAGGGCCGUAUUUGAUGAAAUUUCAAACCAAUAAGAGCCAAACGUAUUUAAUCAAAACCUCAGGACAGGUGAGUGAAAUCAACCCCAUUUAUACAUAUACAUACAUAUGUAUGUAUGUAUGUCUAUUUAUAAUAUUUGUAACCAUAUUCCAAGUUGGUGCAUAUUUUAUACCUUAGAAUGUUAAUUCACGUAGCGCAUACUGGAAGAAAACUAUUCCAAGUUUCAUAAUUGUUUUAGGCUCCAUUACAAUAGAUAAUUUUUUGACUAGUGACUCUUGAUCUAUAGUAACCAUUCUAGUUUUUGGCUAAUAAAUUGUCAUAGUUAAUAAUGGUUUAUCAAGGUUUUAUACAAGUUUCCACACACCCACACACAUACAUAUGCGUAUCUGUUUAUAAUAUUUUAUCCAUAUUCAACAUUGUUGCAUAUCGUAAACCUUAGAAUGCUAAUUCACUAUUAAAAGGUCCUCCAAUUGUGGCAGUCUACUUGUAAGAGCUGAUUCUUAAAUAUAUGUUUCCACAAUCAUUCCAUACUAUUCUUUGGGUUUAAACUUUAAUUUUAGAUAGGUCUUUAAGAAUAUGUUUGGUUGGCUAGAUAGGAUCAGAUGAGAUAUACAUAUUAUGCCGUAUUUAUGUAAUGCUUAUAUAUAUACAUAGAUAGAUAUUGCAUACCAAUGUUUGCUAUUAAAAAAAUAUGAAAUUGAUCUCAUGUUUAGCAUUAUUUGAAAAUCAUUCUAUAAUCUAUAAUCUAUAAUUUAAUAAAUCAUUUCUUAUUUCUUUGUUAAUAGUAUUCAUGAUUAAAAUAUUUAAAAUUUAUAAAUAAAAAACUAUCACAUUAUGCUUUUAAAUACAUAGUAGCAAUUUGUAUAUAUACUAAAUAAUACUAUAUAUUAGCAUUAUUUUAGGUUGAGUUAUACACAUUUUUUUAAAUUAUACACAUUUUUUUAAUUCUUUUCUUUUUUGAGCUAAAAUUUUAUUUUUUUAAUCAAAAUUUCUUGUUUUGCAAAAUGAGCAACAUAAAAAAAAAAAAUUAAAUGAAGAAAAUUGAUAAAAGAAAUAAAUUUAUGAUCCAUUGGAUAUUUAUAUUCUAAUUCUCAACUUUGAAUUAUAAUAUCCCAUGUAGAGAUGAUAUAAAAAAGGUUAGAUACCUUAUCUCAUCCUUUAUCCCAUUAGCAUUAUUUUAGGUGGUACUCCUUAAGUACUAUCCAGGACAUCAACAAAAUCUACAAAAAGGGCAAUCCGUCUCUACUCAUUGUUCCAAUUUAAAUGUACUUCAUGCAUAUAUGUAAUUUUUUUUUCUAUUUAUUUUUCAAAGUGUAAAGGAAAAGACUUAAAAUACACAACAUGAAAUACAUGAAAAUGGGAAAACAAUACCUGAUAUGGUUUGCAAGUUGAUAACUAUGCCUUGACUCACCGAAACUGUUCCUUGUCUAAAAUCACGCUGAAUUUGGAAAGCCCUUAUACUUGCAGUCGAACCAAUGACCUUUAAUCCAACUUUGGUGAGCUGACUAGUAUUGUAUCAUUUCUACUAUAAAAUCCAGGGCCCUAACCCCAUCUCUAACAUCAUAGAACUGCCAAAACUACUAAUUGAAAAUUUACCUGCAGUUCCUACAUUUUAAUUAAAAAUUAUCUUCAUUUUUCUAAGAAGGGAAUUCACCAAGUUGUUCACAUUUCAUGCCUUUUGAUAUUGAAUUAAUUACUUACAGUUGACUGCUGCUUAAUAUGCUGUAGGUGGAAUUCAUAAUGGAGAUCCUCUCCCGUCUUGUAAGCAAGCAGGUAAACUAUAUAUGAUCCAUUAUGCUGUUUGCAGGUCAAUCAGUGGUUUAUGCUUAUUUAAUUAUUGAUUUUAUGAGCUGCACAGAUAUGGAAAUACCCAAAGUUAUGGGUAGGAUUCUUGAAGUGUGCACUCUUAACAAAGCCUCAGUCUUUCAGUGUGUUGCUGCAGGUGAAAUUCUGUUUGCUAUCAUAAUUUAUGAUUUCUUCUUCUCUUUGGAAAACUUUCAUUUAUGAAAUUUUGGAACAGACACCAACCAUUACUUAUUUUUCUCUGAUUUUUUGGCUAUCCUUUACACUGAAGAAUUAUCUGUUUUUGAACUUGUAUUGAUUUUUCAGCUACCUCCAGCGCAGCUAGAAAAUGCCCUCAAUAGAACAGCAGCACUUAAGGCACCCUUGGUUGCUCAUGCUAUCCAACCGAAUAUUCGGUCUUCACUUCCAAAGUUGGUGCAAAAAUCAGUGUUUGUUAUGGUUGAAAAGAUACUAUCAUUGACCUCUUGACCAAACAGCUUGCUCAUUUUUUAUUGGAUUGGAUGUCCUGUUUUAGGUCUGUAUUGGUAGUACUUGGAAUUACUCCUGAUUCUCAAACUUCAAGUCAGACUCAAACAACUCAGGCUCAAAUAGCUCCACCUCAGACUGGAGAUACAACCAACUUAGAUAAGGAGGUGGUAACAGAAAAAGCUAAAGAAUCAUCUAGUGCCAGCUGAAAUGACAAGUUAAAAAGAGUAUGUUUCUGUUUGUUAGUUAUCUUCCUCCAAACUCCUUUAUUGUCAGAUUUUUUUCUCUUUGUUCUUUUAAUGGGGACUGUUCUUAUUUGUUUUCCUUUUCAUCCUCUUCUUGCCCCAACCCCCUUGUUUCUCUUUUUGUUAGAUGAAUCUGCACUGUAGGUGGGACAUUUCUGGCCCCACCCCUCCAAUGUAAAUGGGUUACUGAGCUCCAAAAGCAAUGGCUUAUCUGUGGCAAACUUCAACUUCGAUGACCUGUUGGGAUGGAAGAGCCAAAGAAGGGAUGGAAUCUACUCGUUUUAUUGCGGUCUCCAUCUGGUGAUAAAAUAAUCUGAUUGCCAUGUAGUUGAAAACUGCCAACCCUUUCUUCACCAAAAAAUAUUUACUGCUUAGGAAAAGUUAGGACUAUGUAGCACUAUGAAAAAAAUGUAAAUUGUGAUUGUCUCAAGGGUUUUUGGGUUUUUCAUUUUUGCCUUUUUUGUUUUUUUUCUGGAGAAAUCACAUGAUGUUAAAAGAAAUGCUAAUAUAGUGUAUUUUUUGGAUGGGCCAUUGAUGGUCUUGGAAAGAACAGUUAUGGAAUAAAUGAGAAAUUGUAAGGGAGGUGGAACUUUCGGUGCAUGCACCCUUUUCCUUUAGUUUCCAAUCGCUUUUGAUGCAUUGGUUGCUGCUUGAUUUUGAUCCAACCCGUAGUCAACUGAAUACAAGUGUAAGACAUUGAAGUAUCCAUACCUGCAGUCUGAUUUCAGUGGUUAAAAAGUUAGCCAGCUUCCGUCUCAAUCUUUGAAGGUGGUGGUUUAUGUUGGUUGUCCGAGCAUCAGUAGCCAAGUGAACUGCUUUUAAGCUCACUCCCCCCAUCAGCGUGAUAAUCCCAACCAAGGUGACUUACUACCAACAGAGAGUUGCAUGUUUAAAUACUCUACCAUUCACUUUUUGGUUCAAGGCUUCAAGGCUCAUCUAUCUAUUUUUAUGUUUUGCAUUGCAUACCUUUCUUUCAAUGAAGAUGGUAUAUAACAUGAUUGACUGACUAAAAUGGUUACAUGAUAAAACCGCAUAAACCCUUUGUCAAUUGGCAGAAAAUAAUUAAUUGCAAAGACAAGUCCUUCAAUGCGUUACAAAUUCAUUAACAUCGAAUGGGGAAACCUAAUUACAAAAGAAUCAGAGUUAAACAAUUCUUGAUAAACUUGAUGUCUGGUUAUACCUCCCAUGGCUAUUGCUCUAAAUGGGAAUGCCAAGGAAAAUAUGAACUCAAUUUAUAGCACCUGCUUACAAGAAGAGACGAGAGGGGUGGUGCUGUGGUGCUCUGCUUCAUACAUGUCUCUGCUGAAGGUGCCAAAAGAAUAAUCAAGGCUCGGAUGGGCGUGACCUUAUCAUUUCAUAUUGUCAGAUUUGAAGCAGGAAUUCCAUGCAUUUGAAACCAAUCGGGCAUAUGGAAUCUCUCAUAAAGUACAGGCCUGACAUCCUUCUGCAGAGAGAGGUGCUUGAGGAGUGGCAGGAGGACCUCCAAAAGCUAUAAAAGCCAUGUGAUAUAACAAAAGCAAAUCAAAAUACAAUCUAAACAUUGUUAAGAGAUGCUUGGUAAUGUUUUCAAGAACAGUGGUCAGAAAACAGUUUUGAAUUGUUUAAGGAAUAAAAUUAUGUUUAGAAACUUAAAUAUGAAAAACCGUUUCUGGGUUUAUUCCUCAAUGCUGUAUACUUAUAUAUAAUUUAAAAGUUUCCAAAGGAUUUAUCUUCAAUUAUUGCUAAGAGCAUUCUACUAAAAAGUGAAAAACAAAAAACACAUCAAAUUGUCCUAAAACAUAGCCUGUGUGUCUUCAGAACAGAUUAUAAGAAAAUUGUUUUCGGUCAAAAGUUUAUCAAAUAUGUUUUUAUAAGUUAUAAAGCAGGUUUUUUUUUUCUUUAUUUAUUUAUUAUGAAGAACAGAAAUUAUACUGAGAACCUACCUGCUUAUCAUUAGGCUGUUCAGCGGAAAAUGGAACGCACGGUAUCCCAUUCAAUGGUUGCAGCAAGAAACUGAAUGGGUUGUUAUCAACAAUAACAAUUCGACGGAGAUCCUUUGAUAAACAAGAUAGAUCCUUCACGUGUUCCCGAUAUUUUCUGUGAUUUACCACGAAGUUAAAUAUUCUCUCAAUGAAACUCAAUCUUGGUGACCAAAACCGAUUCUGUAAAUGUGUAUAGCACUGAAUGGGGAAGUCAAAGUAUAUGUUAGGAGAACCAUUAUGCAUGUAGAGCAUAAUUAACUAAGAUGCUAAUGAUUCUUUUUCUUUGUUAAAGAAAAAAAAAAUGGAAAAAUAGUUCAGAAGAAUGAUGAUUUUUUCAAAUCUUCCCAACUCAUCAAACACUCUCAUAGACAUCCACAACUACAUAUGGAUUCUCUAAAAGACUAUAUUUGAUUGACGGGAUAUAAUAUAAUAUAUAUAUAUAUCCUACAAUUGGAUAAGAAAUACAAAUCCUAGGAUAUGAUUUUCAAUGGGAUUUGAUAUCCUUAGAUAUUGUAUCUAAUACACGUAAUAUAUCCAAUGAGAUUCAUUGUGCUAUGUUAUUUUUAUAUUUAAUGAGUGAAAUGAAUGAAAAAAAAAAUAGUAUAAAAUAUAUAUUAUUUUUCAAUAUUUAAAAUAAAAAUUAUAUUACAUUUCAACAUUUUCUAUUUAAAAAAAUGAAAAUUUUCUUACUUUUAAUAAUCUUCAUAAUUAAAUAUUUAAACUUUAUAAAUAAAAGUUUUUUAUAUUAUUUUAUUUAAUAUAUAUAUAUAUAUAGUGUGUAUUAAAUAAUACAAACAUUAAUAUUAUUUUAUAAUAUAUUUAUAAAUAUUCUUUUAGUUCUUUUUUAACCACAAUUUAAUUUUAUAAUAAAAAGUUUUUAUUUUGAAAAAUAAGUAAUAUAAAAAAAUAAUAAAUAAAUAAAUUUAUGAAACAUGGGAUAUGCAUAUUCUACAUCUUAAUAAAAGAUGAUAUAAAAAAAGUGGAUAUUAUAUCCCAACAUUUAUCCUAUCAUAUGUAAACAUAGGAUGAGUGAUGAAAUAAAUUAUAUAUAUAAUAUUCAUCCUUUUAUCUUAUCCUGUACCAUAUAAGUUAACCAAACAUUGCCUAAGAGUUUCAUAAGGGGAAGAAGAGGGGGACAAUAUAAGGUGAAAAGCACAAGACAGUUGUUCUUGAUAGUAUUUUUGAUGUGGAAUAAGAUGAUCAUGAUACUCAUGAACACUAAUGGCUUCACAUUGUACUUUCUGGAGGAAGUCAAGGGAACAAGUAGGAGGAAAGCUUGGGCACAUGAGCAUAAGUAUUGGACUACCUAUGGCCUAGAACUUGUGAAUAUAAACAAUAAUAGGCCAUCCUACAUGCUGCAGUAUAACAAAGGGAAAAAUAUGUUUCCUGGUUUCUGUUUGAUGUGACUGCCACUGCUAACUGCUCACAAGGUUAACUACCAAAAAGAGACAGGAGUGCAUUUUCGUUCUCAUACAUCUAGCCAUUGAACAGAAAAAAAAACGGAAGUAUCAAUCAAAUCAUGACAGUUCAGUAAUCACUCAAAAAAAUUGUAGGCUUAAUGCAAACUCCAGUAGUAGCUAAUGGGGCAUCAAAGUGCAAUUGGAAAUUCAAUAGGAGAGUACUCACUCAACAAAGUCAAUAGCCCAAUUUCUUGAAGUGAGCAACAUGAACUGUUUUUAGCUAUAUUGGGAGCUAUGCCCUCAAUUAAAUCUUUAGAGACCCACAUUUCUUUUUGGUCUUCCUCCUGUCCAUUUUAGCCUAUCCAGUGGAACAAGAGAUUAAUUGUGACUCCUAAGAAAUGGAAACAACCCACAAUACUUUGUUACAGUUACAUGGGAAGCAGUUCAUCCUACUGGUUUUCCAGCCUAUUGAGAGUUGUAUCAUUAAAAACAAAUUUUAAUCGUUUCCAUGUCACUUUCUUACCGUGGACCCAUAACUGAAACUAACUUGUAAUCCAGUUUUUUUAGUAGGUGAAUCAUGAAUAUGAUAAGUGCAGGUCCAACACUACCUAGAUCAUCAAUCUCAUUUUUUCCUACCUGCAUUAAGUCCUGCAGUAUCUCUCUGUUUUUCUUUCCCCUUUUUGGUUCUAGAGGACUAACUAAUAUUUGCUUGAGUGCAAAAUUCUAGCCCCACUCCAGUCCUUGGACUCCUGCAUCUUAUAGUUCCCACCGUUUGUCUCACAUGGUGUCAUACUUAGGUUUCCCAUCAAUUCAAACCAUAAAGCAUAAUUAGUCUGGCUCUAUCAAAGUCCAUAAAACAUAAUUAGUCUGGCUCUAUCAAAGUUCUUAAUAAAUUGACCCAUGAUACAUAACCAGUCUAACUGUUCAAAGAUCUUUCCUAUUGUAUGAUUAGAAUGUGUCACACAGCAGAUAUCAUUUUGAAGGCAUCUCUCUGCAUCAGUCACCUAGGUCUAUUUCUAUGGAAGCAUUCUCUUCUGAUCCUUGCCCCUAGCAAACAUAACAACUAAAAAAGUUGACAUUUUGAUUGUUUUCUGAACUUCUUUUGCACAUGCACAAUAGAAUUCAUGAAUGUGAAGGCCCAUGCCUUUGCAAGAGAAUUGGAAUAAGGAGCCCCACGCCUUUAUAAGAGAGGUUUUGGAAAAUGAGGCAAUCCUUGCCUGCACUACAUCAAAUUGAUACCAACCAAAAAGUAAAGAUGCUCUGAAAAUUGACUAAUGUGGUUUGUUGUACUCCAGAGUCCAAUUUGUAUGAAGCAUAUUGGUUCAAUAUCCCACCCUCAGCCCAAGUGACUUGGAAUCAGAUUCUAAUAACAACCAAAUAAGUAAAUAAUAAUAUAGAAGCACCUAAAAAGAGAGGAAAAAAUCUCAAGAACAACCUUUCAAACAUGAUUGUUCAAACUCAAACAGAAGAGUACAUUUCACAGUAAGCCAAGACCAUGGAUCAGAAUCAAAUCUUAUCUGGAACCUGAUAAACAAGUUUUCAAACACGAGCAUUCAAAUGCAGACAGUAAAUUUCAUCUCACAUUUUAGCGAAUCAACCACUAAGGCUUGUCCAGAUAAUUUUUUCACAUUUUAGGAUCACCAGUCCCAAAGAGGACAGAAUCUUUCUUUUGUUUUUUUAUCUGUGCUUGUGCUUCUGAUUUCCUUGGGCUCCAUGCCUCAGAUUUUUGUAACGCUUGGUGCAUUUGUCUACUCUUCAUAGGACAUUUUGGUACUUCUACAUUUCGCUUGUUUUUCUCUUUUUUUUUUUUCUUUUUCAGUAAGAAGUUUUACUAAUAACUACUAUCUCAGAUAUUUACAACCAAUUGAACCAUUUAUAAACAAAUAUGACCCUAUUUGACAACUCUACUAAGAUGUAUAUGUCUUUUCUAUUAAAGGAAUUACAGUAAGAAGCAAUAAUGUCAGCAGGUGAAUUCAUCUUUCCACAUACAUUAAUAUCUUUCCAUUACCUAAGGUUUGUAGCACCUCAAACUAUUCUCUUAAAUACUCUACUGAACACCAAAGAGCUCUAGCACUUUCAAGCUAUCCUUACCAUUGGAUGAAUCACUGGCAACAGUACCUUCUUUAGACUCUUUGAAUCUGCCACUCCCAAGCAAAUAGAAUAGCAUCAGGUUCACAUGACAAGCUUCCUUUUUCAUUUGCUAACAAUAUUCACUUUUAUCCAUCCCUAAUAGUUUCCUUCUUAAGUUACAGUAAUAGUAACUAAUAAAAAAUGGAUUUUUAUACUUGGUGUAUAUUAUUAGAUACCCUUUGUGUUUACUUAUUAGGGGGCAGUUCAUCUUGUUGUUUCAGGGGACAAUGGUUGUACUUAAAGUAAAGCGGCACCAACAAUCUUUCAUUUUCUUAUUCUUUCCUUUCCAUUUUUGAAACACCCCUUGCAAAAAUAGAACAAAAACUUUCAUCCUUCACCCAGUUAGUUCUUCCUCUGGCAUCUCUACUUCUUUCUUCUGUUCAAUUGUCUUUUUAUUUUAUCUUCUCAUUUUUAUUUGUUCUACACCCUUAUUUACCAGCAAGGUAACAUUUUUCUUUCUGUUAGAUCACAAUCCCAAGUUUUCCUUUCAGUUAAAACCUGACGGUUGGUUGCAAAAAAAAUCAGCAAAUCAGCAAAUACUUUCUCACAGAGCACGUGCAAAAAUAAAAAAUUAAAAACAAUAAAGAAACAUGUAUUUGAGCACAACAUUAUUUAUAUAGCUUAGUGCAUAUAACAAUAUAUUAAACAAAAGGUCCUGCACAUGUUUGACCAAAUUAAUCUAUAAUGCUACUGCAUAAGAUUGGGGUAUUAAAUAUCCAACAUUAUCUUCCUUUACAAUCCAAAGUUUUUUCACCAUUUUUUGUUCAGCCAAUUUGCAUGAUAUUUGAAUAAAUAGAGGAUCAUUAUAAGAAAUUGAUUUCGUAAUUCUUGCCCAAAUUCCACCAUUGAAUUCUUUUACCUCACUUUAUUUGACAGUAAUGAAAUCUUGCUAUUUCUGAAUAGGAAUCAUUCAGAUCUGUGCUGUUUGGUCCGGCUAUGCAUCAACUAUGCAUUAGUUGAUACAUAAUAGCAUCAACAACACAAGCAACAUGAAAUGUAAGACAUCAAUUUAUCAUUGUCAAAUUAAGAUGACUCAUCAAAGAGUCUUAGAAAAGAAAAACUCUUUUGUCAAACUACCAUAUGAACCUACCAAUGAUAACACCUCCUGGUUGAUACACCUCAGUAUCACUGAUAGAUAGUCUUUACCAUGUUGAACCAUGCUUACCACAUUUCAAAUGUCACUCAUACAAUUGAAGCAGUUUUCGGACUAGAACUCUCUUGCAUAGCACAUUUGUUUGCCCUAGUAUCCUCAUUAGAAAAUAAAUUUUCACAAAUAAAAUAAAAUGUAUUCAGAUCUUAUCCAACAGGUAAUUAUUGUUGAAUAGAAGCAACACUUACGUGCUAACUGUUGAAGGCCGAUAAAGCCGUUUACUAAAUCUGUUUCCCGCAUCAAUUUUGUCAACAAGAGGUCUAGCAUAACCUGCUUGGUAUGCAAAAGCAUAAAUCAUACAAUAAAAUAAAGCAAUCAAGCAAAGGUCUGGAAAUAGAGAAAUAACAUGAAAACCUUCAAGAGCAGCAGUGAAAAGAACAAGUUCUGCAAAUUCACUGAUCUGUUCUAAGAAUUCUUGUAAACCAGGUCGUUCAAACACUGUUACGUAACUGAUAUUUGGUUUUCCUUCACAUUCCUGCAACCCAACAAGUAACGUUAAUCAUUCAGCAAGAAACAAGUUAAGAAAGCAGGGGAGGGGGAGGUAGGGAGGGAGGGAUGGGAAGAGAGAGAGAGACCUUGUCUGAAGAUACACAUUCCAACUCAAACCACUUCAGUCCAGCUUCUAUUGCCUGGGUGCGUAAAUGGGCAGGCAAGCUAGAGGUUUCAUAUGCACAUACCAGAGUCUCAUCCAAGUCAAGAACAACCUGCAUGCCAAAAACCAUAUUAACCCUGUUAACUUGGAUAGAGAAUUAGCUUGUCCUAUACAGCCAACAAGAUACAUCUUGCAGCAAACAUAUGUUUGAGCAUUGAUUACCCUAUACAUAAAUCUGGAACUUUUUUUAUUGACAAAUGAAAUUCAUCAAAAGAUACCAAAGGAUUGUAACAGAGUACAUAAAUAGUAUAAAGAUUGCACCUAAAGGAUGGGAAAAAGAAAAAUACAAGUAUAUAAAAGAAAAGCAUUAAGUGAUCACUAUGAUCUACAUAAAGUAAAAGAUAAAAAAAUAGAAAACAAAAAGGUAUGAGCAAACCACUAGAAUCCCAUGGCACCCAAAAAAAGAGCAACCUCCACAACACCUUCUACUUCUUCAAAAUAUGAGCUCCUUACCAUCAAAUGUGUGCCAAUUCUCCCCUACUAAACAUACUAUGGAAAGAAUGACAUUAGGAAAGCCAUGGCUAUAUAAUUUUUUAAUUGAGGAGAAAAUUAGGCAAUCUCAUAAUCAAAGGGAUCUGAUAUAAUUGGGUUAGGAAAGUUUUUAUUUUUUGUGUUAGGAAUUUUUGUAUGUAUAUGGGUCUUUGUAUGGACUUAAUAUCAAGGAAGAAUUUUAUACCUUUGAUUCCUCCCCAUCCCUCUUCUUCUACAUGGUAUAAGAGCAUCAAACUCUUAAAUUUGGGAAGAAAAGGAUUUUUUUUUUCAACCUUCAUUGCCGAGUUGAAGAUCAUAGUCGACCUUCAUUGUCGACCUUAAGGUUUCCUUCUCGUCUGAGUUGCACCAUUGCUGCAAACACAACCUCGUACUAAUGCUGCAAACCCAUAUCACAAACUUGACAAUCGGAGACCUCAGCCAUCGUCCUCAUGCUAUUGUCCUCACACCAACAUCCUUGUGAACUCAUCACGAAAUUGAGAUCGUGCCUCCGGCUUCACACCAAUACAAAUCUUCCUUCUCACAAGCCCCACGCUCCUUGCAGUCAGAUUCGGUAGUGCUCUUGCAAGCCCUAGCUGCCUCGACUUUGCUCGUCUUCUUUGACAUCGUUAAUCUCUCUCUCAAGUUUUCUGAGCCUCUACCAGCAACGGCAAUCCUCCUUGUGUUGUCAAAAACAACAGAGGAUCAUGUCAUCCAACAAUUCUCUACGACUUCCCUUCAUCGCCAACAAAAUCACGAGCUUUGAAGUCUUUAACCACCACAAACUAUCGCCGACAGCUAAGUUCCCACACUCUGCAUGUUUUUUGUUGGCCUAAGUAUUUAAGCCUUUAAUCUUAGCCCCUUUUAUAGUUUUUUUUUAAUAACAAUAAAAAAAAUGUCAAAGGUAUUAGAAACUACCAUUGUUACUACUCAAUCUAAAGGAGUGAUAAUCAGUUAGAAUGCAAGAGAAUUGCAAAAUAUCAAGCGGCAUACAGGCUUGAUGGCAAAAAUUACUUAAAAUUGUCACAACUUGUUCAUACGUUUCUUAAGGGAAAAGGGAAACUCAGUCAUCUUCUGGAAUUGGACCAAGGAGAGGAGACCCUCAAUUUGAUGUCUAGGAUGAGAAAGACUCAAUAAUUAUGACAUGGUUGUGGAACUCAAUGACACCUAAAAUCAAUGAUACAUGUAUGUUCCUGACAAUUGCUAAAGACAUUUGGGAUGUUGUUCACUAGAGAUACUCAAAGGCACUAGAUGCAGCCCAAGUGUACAAAAUAAAAGUUAAGAUCGGAGCGGUGAAACAAGGAAACAAGACAAUCAUAGAGUAUGCCAAUAUGUUAAAAAAACCUAUGCCAAGAAGUUGAUCACUAUCAACGUAUUGAGACAAAAUGUCCUUAGGAUGCAACAAUCAGGAAGAAUUAUAUUGAAAAGAAUUGAGUAUAUGAUUUCUUACUUGGCCUCAAUUCUGAGUUUGACCAAGUUAGAGUUUAAAUACUUUGCAAAGAGUUCUCGACUUUGAAUGAGACUAUCCCCAUUCUCCGAGCAGAAGAGAGCAAGAAAAGUGUCCUAUUUGAACCUCAAAACUUGGAAGGCUCAGCUAUAGUUGCUAACAAGGGCAGUGAUCAAAAGGCUAGCACUGCCAAUAACAAAAGGACUAAUCAGUCAAGGGCUCCAAAUCAUGAUAAUAGGUAUAGCCUAUGGUGCACUUUACUACCAGAAGGCUAGACAUAUACGAGGGAAAUGUUGGAAACUUCAUAGUAAGCAAUCCAGCAAAGAGUGGGGUUACAAUGGAGAGCAGUAUAGGGAUAAUGGACAAACACACUUGUCUUUUGUUCAACCGGUUGAAGAAAGAUCCCUAGAACAAGGCGGAUUCAAUCAAGAAGAGAUUGAAAAUUUGAGAACUUUGUUAGGAACUCUUGAGAAAGCUUCAAGCACUUGCUCACUCACACUUUCAAGUAAGUUUCCUAUAUCCAUUAGAUUAAAAGUCUCAGAUGAAACCUUUGCUAAUUCAUAGGUUAUAGAUUCAGAUGCUACAAAUCACAUGACUCAUUCAUAACACCAAUUUAAUAAUUAUAAACCUUGUCCAAGCAGUAGGAAAAUAGUCACAACAAAUAGUUCAUUAACCAUUGUCGCAAGUGUAGGAGACAUCCAAAUGAGCCCUACACUUACACUUAGAAAUGAGUUUUAUGUUUCAAAGUUGUCUACCUCCCACUCCAAAAUCUCCUCCAUGAAUGCAUAGACUGCUUCCAACUUCCAGUCCUAAAAAUCAUGGAAAGAGAGAAAUAGGAGAGCUGAAAAUUCUGAAAUGUUGGACCAAACAAUGAAACAAUCCUUUAUUUACAUGUUUUGGAAUGGGUUAGGGUGCAUUUAGUAGUUAGCUCAUUGUCAUUAUUUGAUUUUAUAGUUUGGUUGAGUUCUAAGUGAGGCAUGGAAGUUGUUUUUUGUGUAUCCCUUUUCUUUUUAGCCUUCAGCACCUUGUAUGCAUCGUGUAUACUUUUGUGUAGACUCUUGUGUGCCCUUUGGAAGGCACUUUUAAUAUAAUUGUUUUUACCUGUCAAAAGAAAAACAAAAAAAAAAAAAACCUUCCAGUCCUGGAAGUCCCUCAAAAACCAUGGUUUUCAGCUUCUUUUACUCCUUGUCAUCAGUCCAUCAAAAGUAGCUUUGCCUACGGAGUUUCUGUAUCUUCAAGGAUGCUAAAUAAUCUGGAUAGCUCAGGUUAAGCACCUGAUCUCCACAUCAAACAUCCCUCCAAAAUACACCAUGUCUGCGCCAACCUCAAUCACCACAAACUUGAAAAUCUAUCCACAUUCAACUGAGUUACAAUCACAACUCACCCCAUGGGAAUUCUCACCUGUCUCAAGCACAGACCUUUUCCCCUAUUUCCCAGCCACCAUCCAUCUCCAUAAGCUUUCCCUUACAACAGUUGCUUUGACAAAUAUUUUUCAGAAAGCAUUUUGGAGUCCUGAAGUCAGAAGCAAAAUUUUGCAAGAUUCAUGGGUAAGAAUAUAUCUUCUUCAUAAACCAACCCAUGGUGUAUAUGGUAUUGUAAUAAAAGUCAUUCAUCACCAUUAUCAAAUAAUUUUAGCUAAUAAUUUAACCUUCUUCUCAUGGCACUGUCUCUCUUUUUCUCUUUUUCUUCCAAUUUAGGAAACUUCAUAUUCAUUGUAAUCCUUCUAGAACAUCCCGGUUGUCUCAUUGUCUAGCUCCAUUAGAGCUAGAAUAUCCAGAGAGAGUAAUGAAGUGUAUAAUUUUCCAUCUAAUUUAUUACAAAUCCACACACUAAAAACAUAUAUCCACAAUACAAAGUGCUCUAUACUGAUUAAGCAAUACUUUUAUCACAUCAACACCUAAUCUUUAAAGUAAAUAUCAUCCGAACUCGACAAUUUCAACAAGUAGCAAUCACAAAACAGCCAAAAUUAGGUUUACCUGAAAACCAAAUCAUAUUCCACAGAAACGAACAAAAUCACAAAUCACGCAACUAAACGAAAAAAGAGAACUCACCGUCAGCUUCUCCAGGGGACGAUCAUCACCACCGUCAUCAUCGCCGCCAACGCCACCACCGAAAGGACUAUGUUCAACGACUCUAACGGGCAGCGGCGAAGAAAGAGGAGCAGAGGGCGGCUCUGGCGAGGAGUCGUGCAGCGAAAGCUCGACCACAGGCAAGGGCCUGAAGGAGGAAGCGGAGGAGGGGAGAAGAGGGUGGCGAAGGCCGAUGUAGGAGAGGAGCUGAGGCAGAGAUGGGGUACCUCUGAAGAUCUGGAGGAAGAUUUGGAGGAAGAAUCCGAGCCAAUUCACCACUGCUCUCCACACUUGCAGAGGCCUAGGCACGUACACUUGUGUGGGAGCCAUGCUCUCCACGAUCCACGAUCGAUGAUCGAUGCUUCUGGAAAUGGGAAGGGAGCGAUUCUGGUGUACCCCGAGGAGGAGGAGGAAGAAGGUUCUGGUGCUCUACGUGAGCAUGCUGGCGUUGAGGUGGCACAAUCUUAUUGGAGGACAGCUGCUUCUCGCUUGACCAAACCCCCCUCUCACGCACUGUCACUCUCCAUUGCAAAAUUUCAUUAAUAUAAGUUGUCUUAAGGUUUUCUUUUUUCUUUUCUUUUUGGGGAUUUUGAAUAUAUUUACUUAUUAGAAACAAAAUUACAAAAAGGGGAAAUUAUUCUUCUGAGUUCAAAUUUACAUAUGUAUUUAUUUUCAUUUUUUAUAGUUAUCCAAAAUUUUCUACUUUAUACUUAUUUUACUUUUAGUUUUGUUAAUCACUAUUAAAAAAUUCAAAGUUAUUGUAAUAAUUCAUAAACAAUUUUAAAUUAAUUAAAAUAAUAUAUAAAAUGACAAAUUUAAAAUCUAAUAUUAAUUAAUAAAGAAUAUUUAUAUAUAGAUAAAUCAACUAUAUUAUAUUAAUAAAUAACAUAUUGUAAUAUAUUAUAAUAAUAUAAGAUCAUCUUUUACGUUUUUUCAAAAUUAUUUAUAUUUUUUAUAAUUAAGUGACUAACUUAGUUUUUAUGCUAAACAUUUAGUUUAAUACUAUUUCAUUUAAAGAAUUUAAAUCAAAAUUAUUAUUAUACUUUUAGAGAUAUAGAAUAUCAAUAAUUUAAGUUUUAAAAAUUAAUUUCAAUUUUUAAUUUUUAAUAAAUAACAAUGAUUUGUAUUACAUUUCCUCGUAUUGUAAAAUUAAUUUUUAAUAUUUAUUAAUAAUGUUUUUCAUUUCAUAUUGUACACCCUCCAUUUUGUCCCUUAACACAUAUAUUUCCAUUUUUAUCUUUUUCUCUUAUCUUGUGAUCUGUUUUAGGGCAUUCCUAAGAUCCUUUUUGCUUGAUCAUUCAUCACGUUCCUUUGUUAGUCUAUGGUUAUUCAACUCAUUUUCAAAUUUGAGCCUUAUUUUAGAGACCAUUAGAGAGUAAUUUUUCAAGCCUUAACUUGGAUAUUUGGGGGUUUCUACAAAAGCACAUCAUUUUUUAAAAAUAUUUAUUAAAAUAUCCUUUUCUCCAAACUAUUUCUAAAACUACAACAAUUUACUCUGAGUGGGAUUCCAUGUAAAUUUCAUUUGUUGAAAAGACGAGUUUAGUGUAAAAUGAGAACUCAUCUUUUCAAUAGACAAGUUCAGUGUAAAAUUUAGAACUUGGCUAUUAAAAAAAUAAGUUUGAUGUAAAAUAGAAACUCAUAUUUUCAAUAGACGAGUUCAGUGUAAAAUUCAGAACUCGUCUCUUAAACAGACAAGUUUAAUGUAAAAUCAUAACUUAUCUUUUCAACAAAUAAGUUCAGUGUAAAAUGAGAACUUGUCUUCUCAACAGAAGAGUUAAAUGUAAAAUUCAAAACUUGUAUGUUGAAAAUGAGUUCAGUGUAAGUUAAGGAGAAUGUGGCCUUCAUAUGGUUCAUAUUAUUAUACAGUUAAGUGAGCCAAAAUUUAUACAGUUUAAUUUGUUUCUGAAUCUUAGUUGAAGUCCAAUCCAAAUUGAAUAUGAAUUGAAAAUACUUAACUCGAAUUCAAUCCAAAUAUUAAAAUUGAUUCAAUUUAACAACAAAAGCGUAUGGAUUGAAAUGGAAUAUAAAAGAGAAGUAGAAAUGAGCUCCAAUAAAACAAGAUCAAUUUAGUAAUGGAUUUGAAUUACCCUAUGCCAAAGGAAUGCUCAUGGUUAUAGUCAAAUACAAUUUUUCAUUUAAAUUGGUUCUUUUGACUUAUGGGUUAAAAGGACUUGGAUUGAAAUGAAACAAAAAGGAGAGGAAUGAAUGUGUUCCAAAAUUAUCAUAAUGGGUUUUCAACUCAAAUAAAAUCAAUUUUAAAUAAAAUUGGAGGUAGGUUGUUUUAAAGAUUGUUCAUGAUUUUAAUCUAGAUAGGUUGAUAGUAGGCUUUUUACAUGUCAAUAAAAAUGAAAGAUCAACCUCACAAUUUCAAAAUAUAACCCAAACUCAAAGAGAGUAAGAACAUGUUUUUGUUGUUAUUAACAUCGGGGAUUUAUACAGUGUAAUAGAUAAGAAAUGAAAAAAAUAAAGAUUUUGAAAUGCAUGUUAGACAAGAGACAUUUCAAAUUUUCAACACUUUCUAAAUCUUGAAAGCAUUGCAUCACAAAUUUAACAUUUUCUUCAACAUUAAUAAAAUUGUUGAGAAUCGGAUUUUGUUGCAUAACUUAUUCAAGUGAACAGUAAAAGAUAACUUGUGAUUAGGCAUAAACUACUAAUCACAUAAAGGGAAACAAACCUAUUACAAGAUCUGCCUUGUAUUUUCCAUGAAACCAUGUAUAAUUAAAGAAACUGCGUAUACAACAAGAAGCAGAGUAAAGGAAUGGAGUCCUAGAAUAUGCUUAUGCUAUCAUCUAUUAGAUUAUCUGAAACCCCAUGGUUGAUCCCCUGUUUACAAUAUUUAAAUAAAACCAUUCUUUCAUACCACACACACACACACAGAUAUAUAUAUAUAUAGAUAUAUAUAUAUAUAUAUAUAUAUAUAUCAUUUUCUUGAACAAAAGUUAUACAUAAUAGAGACUUUAACAAAAAAGUUAAGCAUUAAAUAAUCCAUAUUCCUAGCUAGCUUCCAAAAUUUUCUAGAUUGUUUCACCAUGAUCAGAGCUCUUUGCUUUCCCAAGAUCAAUGACAAUAUGCUUAUGCUAUCAUCUAUUAGAUUAUCUGAAACCCCAUGGUUGAUCCCUUGUUUACAAUAUUUAAAUAAAACCAUUCUUUCAUACCACACACACACACACACAGAUAUAUAUAUAGAUAUAUAUAUAUAUCAUUUUCUUGAACAAAAGUUAUACAUAAUAGAGACUUUAACAAAAAAGUUAAGCAUUAAAUAAUCCAUAUUCCUAGCUAGCUUCCAAAAUUUUCUAGAUUGUUUCACCAUGAUCAGAGCUCUUUGCUUUCCCAAGAUUAAUGACAAUAUGCUUAUGCUAUCAUCUAUUAGAUUAUCUGAAACCCCAUGGUUGAUCCCCUGUUUACAAUAUUUAAAUAAAACCAUUCUUUCAUACCACACACACACACACACAGAUAUAUAUAUAUAUAGAUAUAUAUAUAUAUCAUUUUCUUGAACAAAAGUUAUACAUAAUAGAGACUUUAACAAAAAAGUUAAGCAUUAAAUAAUCCAUAUUCCUAGCUAGCUUCCAAAAUUUUCUAGAUUGUUUCACCAUGAUCAGAGCUCUUUGCUUUCCCAAGAUCAAUGACAACAAUAUUUUUUUGCAAGCAAGAACAAUGAGCUUCCCAAGUCUUUAUCCUAGUGGAAAAAUAGAAUUUUUAGGCAAUGAUUGAGCAUUAUCAACUAUAUUUAUAUGAGAUAGUUUGGAAGAUAGUUUAUUAUUAUCAACCAACCACAAGUUUUAUAAUUUAUGUAACACUUGAAAAAACAAUGAUAUAUAUUCCCUUUUCACAACUUUAUGCUUCACUAUUUUCUUAUGAUACCAAAGAGAAAAAUGAAAUUAUAUUCCCUAUCCAAACCUUAUACUUUUACCAAGUCCUCAAGCUAGAUGUUAAUAGAAGAAAAAUAAAGUAUAUAUUCCCUUUCAAAACCUUUGACUUCUACUAAGUCCUUCAGCUAAAUGUUAGCAAAAAGAAACAACCAAGGAAUUUGAGUUCAUGUGUUAGCUAACAUUGGGAAUCAUUCAUGACCUGAAAAUGCUAGAAACGAAAAAACAUUUAGAAUAAUAGACAAAGUUAAGGACUAGGAUGCAACUUCAGAGAAUUGGGCACAAAAUGUAUAAGUCAUCUACAUGCAUUUUUCCAACCAUGGAUUUGAAGCUUUUGUUUCCAUUAAAAACAAUGAAAACCCAAUCUAUCAACCCUCCUCCCCUACUUCAAUGUCAAUACCAAUUAUCAGAAGAUGGGAUGUAGAACCAUCUUAAAGCAAUGUUGAGGGAACACAACAUAAGAAUUCCAUGUCAGUAUCACCAAUAAUCUAAUACACACUAACUCUACAAUAGCUCCCAAUGAAAAUAUAAGUCAAAUGAUACACAAUCAAUAGGAACAUGAGGCUAGAACAUGAUUUAAUCCCAAUUGGAAUCAAUUGGAAUUUGCACAUAUGAAAAUGGCUAAGAUUAAUUUUCAUGUGUAAAAUUUUUGUAGUCUCGUUGGUUCAAGUUAAUUCUUUAUAUGUAGUAUUUAUAAAUUGAUAUUGGCCAAUGCCAAGCCUCUUAUUUCACCAUGUAGGUUAAUGAAAUGUAAGGGAAAAAGAAUGAAAUAACUAAGAACUUAAAGAUAUAGUCUUCAGUGAGAUAAAUUACCAAGGCAAGAACUAAACAGUUAUAUCAAUAGUUAUGAAAUUUGAUACUCUACCAAAUAAUCUCCAUAAAGGGAUGCUCAUGCUAUUAGCAAUUACAUCAAUCAAUGUCAUCUCAACUCCCGCUGUAACCUUCAGUAGCAAAUACAUUUUUAUGAGAGCUACAAAAAACAUUAGAAUUUUAUUGAUAAGAGGAUGUGAAGAUGCCCUAAUACGAAACAUCAAUAUACUAAACAAGAAAUGAAUACAUAAGUUAUAUCAAAUUCUAUUUUUGUGUUUAUAUUUCUUUGUUACAACUAAGAAGAGUGAUAUAUCUAUUGAAUGUAAAAUUGUAAACACAAAACAAACAGGUAUUUAUUUCUAUGAACCACAAAUGUUCUUCAACAGCAACAAGAAGUAGGAUUUUAGUGGAAAAAUAAAUAAAAAUAAGGAUAUUAAAUAAAAAAGCCACAAAAGAUAUACUGAUAGUAAGUAAAAAUUGUUGUUUAACCCAAAAAAAUAGUAGCAUAAGCAAAUUUUUAAUUCUAGUUACUGUCUUAUCAAGUAUAAACAACACUAAGGUAUUAUGUGUUUAAUAUCCCAAAGCUUUAUAACACUAAACUAUGUAACAGGUUUUAGCAAUUGUUGGAGUUAUUUUUAAUUAGUUCUCUUCUUGAUGUGUUCCUUGUUAUAGUUAAAUUUUUUUUUCUCUUUUUAUAAAAAUAUAUUACAGAAUGAACAAGAAAUGUAUAUUAGUAAACCUAAGAAGAAUUCCAUUUCAAAUGACACAAACAUAACCUCAAACAAGAAAUGUAUCUCAACAUAUCAUAAGCCAUAAGAAGCCUUAGAUAGGCUCUAAUUACUAUUAUUAAUAGGAACAUAAAACAAACAUUUCCAACAAAGCAUUAUAGAAAACACUUACAACCUACCUAAAGGAAAAAGAGUGUACUGACCAUAAGAAGCAAAUGAUGUUUUCUCAGGGCAAGUACUCUUUAGACAACAACUAGCGGAGAUGUAAUCAACCUCCUAUGAUACCCUAUAAACAUAGAAUGACAUUAGCAACUACCAUCUCAAUAAGGAAAUGGACUAUGACAAAACCAUCAAUUAACCAAAGAAAUAGUCUACUUACUGUCAAUAGAUAAACAAAAGAGAACUUGACAAAACCUUGAGCAUCCUAAAAAAAAAAAAAAACUUAACACAGGACUGCUAUGUACACCUAACAUAUUUACUAUGCACCAUAUCUUAAUUACAAUACAAUCAUCAAUUGGAGGGAUCAAGUGCUAUAUGGAGGGUUCUCCUCUUACAUCUUGGAUAUCUCUAGUAAGUCACAUUAAAAGCAUGGACAUUAGAGGUAAUAUAGACAUCAAAAGAAACAUUAGAAGUAGCUUGAACCUCGGAAGCAAACAAAACCUUAAAAGCAACUGGAACCUCAAAAACAAUCAAAACAUCAGAAGCAACUGGAACACCAAAGCAAUUGGAACAUCAGUAGCACUUAGAACAUCAUAAAUGACAUCGGUAUCCUCUACAUCAUCUAUCGGGUCUGUUAUGACACCAUCAAGAGGAAAAUCAAUAACAUGAGAAACUAGUCCAUCAUGCUCUAUAUGUGCACUCCCUUAUUUUUGACAUCGCACUCAACCUUGGCCUCUGUGAGGUGCUAUUGGAGCUAGAACAUAUGAGGAUGAUAUCAUGACCGAUGUUGAUUGUUGAUGAUAUGUUGUUAGGAUGAUAUAAGGCUGAAGAACUGUCUAUCAUGAUGUGGAUGGUCGAUCCUUUAUAAGAAUCUUCUUCUUGAUAAUAGGUGUUACAAAAGUCUAACAGGGUUGAUGUUAUUCCAUAACAUGUCCUCUACACCUCCCUCUCUUGCUUCAUUUCCUAUCUUAUCAUGAAAAUAAAUGUGAGACCAUGGUAAAUGGAGCAAUAUGUAAUCGACUCAUCUCAUCCACUGCUUGUAAUGUCAUAUAAGAUAAUGAAUGUAUAUCUUCCUUUGUUAUUGGUGGAGUAUUUGGCCUUAACAACUAAUUUAUUUGUUCAAAGCUAUUAGCCUACAUGUCUAAAGUAGAUGUUAGUUACAAUUGAAAGGAAACCAAAAGAGAAUGAAUGACAAAGUAAUAUUCUUGAAAUUACCAUAAUAUCAUGGAAAAAUCCAUGCUUAGUGAUAAAUCGAUGUGUGAUUAAAUGAUACCAAUGCAUAUUAAGGGUUGUAAUAUGAAAUAUCUCUAGAUACUAACUCAUUACUAAGUACAUGAUCACAAUGAUGGCUUCAUCUCUCUAUAUAUACUCUUUAUACUCAACCCUUCAAUCAAGAUCAUGUCAACCUCGUAAGAAAAUGUUAUGUAGUUUAAUGCUAGUAUCACAUGACUCCAGUAUAUGCCAACUCAUACCUAAUUGGCAUAGAACCUAAUCUGGCCUAUGCCACUCAACAUUAUGAAAACAAAUAACUUGUGAUAUAGUAUCCAAAUGUCAUCACCAACAAUACAGUAGUUUGACAAUGUAGAUAUGAUAUCAAACGUGUAAGGUUGCCAUAUAAUGUGACUUGGCCUCUAUAUAUCAAAAGUAAAUCUAUACUUGCUAAAGACAUGCAUGGAUACUUUGUGAUAGAUAAAACGUCUCUCCACCUAAGAUAAAGUAAUAACAUGUUAGUUGAGAUCAAAUGUAAGUUAAGUUCUUAAUGAAUUUUUACAAGAAAAUAUCAAUUGUUGUAUAUAUCAUAUACCCAAUGGAGGUGGUGGGAAUGGAAGGCCAUCAUUACCAAUGAUAUCAUGUGGAAAUGCUUCCAAUCUUUGAGGGCCAAUACAUGGAAAUCUCUCACAUACCCAUAGUUGUAAUAAUAUAAGUGGGUCAACUAUAUAACAUGCUUGAACAUGGGAUACUCAACACAUCUCUCUAUAGAGCCAAGCUAAGCAAGAACUACCCCAACUAUACCCACCAACAACCCUAAAAUCUAAAAAAAAUGAAAGAAACAUAAGUACACAAAACAACCAAACUUGUCUGCAAAUAAACAUUCUCCAAUAAGUUGUAAGAUAUAUGCUCUGGCAUAACACUAAACAACAUCAUCAACAUCAAAGGGUAGAAUGGGAAAUUUCAUUGCUAACCAUGUCAUAUUAAGUCGUGAUCCGUCUAAGUCAUACUCCUCAAGUAUGUGUCCUAACAAAGACUCACAUAUCUUAGGCCUCUGUUGCAAUGUCAAACUAGCAAGAGGAGGCCCAUCAAUUGGUAGUCCGAGUAUAAUGGUGACAUCUUGUAUAAUAAUUGCCAUAUCUCCAUGUGGCAUGUGGCAUGUAUGCAUCUUAGGACACCAUCUCUUAACCAAGGUAGUUAUUAAGUGCUAGUCUAAUGUAACAAACCCAAGUUGUGUUAUGCCAUAGAAGCUUACUUUUUGCAAAUAUGGAAUAAUCCUUCAAUCUAGUGACAUUGUACAAUGAAAUAUAGCCUCAUGUUGUGUGCAAUGAAAAAUUUGUGUCUUAGCUACCUUUAUAUCCCAUAAAAUGUGCGAUUAAUGUACAUGUUGUGAAAACAACAUUGAUGAAUCAUAAGAUUGGGGAUCCAUGAGACCUGUAAAACAAGGUUUCUUAUUAGAUGUUUUGUGAUAUUUUAAAAAUUCAUACAUCAUUAAGAGUUUACAUUGGUAAGAGUUCAUACAUCACCAUAGUUCAUACAUCAAUUAAAGUCAAUACAUCAUGAAAAGUUCAUACAUCAUUAAGAGUUACAUUGGUAAGAGUUCAUGAAUUACAAAAAGUUCAUACAUCACCAAAAGUUCAUACAUCAUUACAUAUUUCAAAAGUCAUUCAGUAUGGAUGUUAGAGGAUUGUCAUUGAUCUUUGUUAGGACACUUGUAUCGAUUAUGACUUGCUUGCAAGCUCCAUACUCGAUCCUUGUACUAGGUUCUCUCCAAUCCAUCUUAUUUCGUAUGCAUGAUAAUCUAGGUUGCCCUUGUUCUCCUAACAUUGUUAGAUCACGAUCCAAAAUUGGGAAUUUUGGUUAAGGCCAAUAAUCUUCAUGUGAUAUUAAACUAAAUUCUAAGGCAUAACAAGCUAUGUAUUUUUCCAUCCUAUAAUAGGAAUCCACGAAUUGCAUAAGCACGAACAACUAGGACAUGAGAACAAGGCAACCCAAAUGAUUGUCAUUUGUUAUAAGUACAAGUACCUUUCUUAAGCUUCACAAUUUGCUUAUUGUUGCCUUUAUCAAUAUGAAACCCAUGAACAAUAGUGGUUACCUCAACGACCUCAUUUGCUUGAUGAAAUACUGUAACACUAUGCUCACUUGCCUUAACCUCCCAAAUGCUGAUCUUAUUCUUGGCAUAAGAAGUAUACAUUUCACCUUUUCUAAGUUUGCAUUUUGUUGCUACUAUAUGCCUUUCAAAGUAAGCAACACAUUUAUAGAAAGUUAGUUGCACCAAUGUACUAAUAGGCAACAUACAAGCUCUCUUAAACACCCCAUUAAUACUCUCUCUAUUAUUUGUCGUCAUACAUCCAUAUUGAAAUCCCUUAUCAUAUGCUUGUGUUAAUUUCUUUUUCUCUACUUUAUCAAAGAAUUCACACACUUCGCAUUCAUAUUUUGGAGUUCUUCCAUACACAACUGAAACUUGCGAGGUUGAUGUUGGGAUCCAACCUUAUACACUAAGUCUUUCAAGACUUUGUUUCUAUACAUCUCAUUGAAAUUACUUGCCACAUGUCUUAGACAAUAUUUAUGAUGAGCACAGGCUGGAGUCUAUCCAACUUUGACAUUCUAUAAUGUUGCCUUGAUUCCUACAUGACUAUUAAAAAUUAAGCAUAUCCGAUAUUUUUUAGUAACAUGAAACCUUAUUGCAAAAAGGAACCAAGACCAACUAUUUGUUUUUUCCUCCUUAACAAGUGCAAAGGCAAGAGGGAAGAAGUGUUCAUUAGCAUUAAUUGAAGUUGCAAUCAAUAGCUUCCUUAUACAUUUUCCAUAUAAGAAAGUAUCAUCAAUUUGAAUGAUUGAUCUACAAUGCUUUAAUUCUUACCUUGUCAUUAAAGUUUCCCAAGGAAGUUGUUUUUCAAAAAACUUUUGUACCAAGAUUAGUUGCUUGAAGAACAUUCAUCCAAUUAGGUAGAAGAUAGUAAGAUGCAUCCCAAUCACCAAACACUACCAUAAUUGUUUUUCUUUUUGCUUCCCAAACUCUUCUAUAAUGAACUUUAUAGCCAUAUUUAUCUUUUAUUAUCUUAUGCAAUGUUGGUACUAGCUUAAAUGGAUCAUUCCUUAUAACAUUUUGUUUAUCCCUAGCUAUCAAGGGGGACCCCAAUUGAGAGUGGUCUUGUGAGAACUUAGGUUAUACAUAAAUGUGAGACUUUCUUAUUCUCAAACUGUAAGCCCUUAUACAAUACAUCAUGGUCAUUCCACAUUCCACUACAUGGUUCUAAGUUCUCCUGAGGCAUGACAUUUUCACAUCCUAAUUCAACCCAGUCAAUAUCAAGGAAGAGAUGACAUUUUCAUGAUAAAGGUGUGUAAACUUAUUUCCCAGAUUUUCCAUUCGAUCAACAUCAUGGUUUUUAGGGGCCUUAUAAACAUAUCUUUCACUCAUGACCAUGUCAUACACCACAUUGGAAUCUGUCUUCAUUACAGGCUCUUCAUCAUCUUCACUCGUUUCAAGCACAUCAUCAAGAUCCACCCUCUUUUGCGACAGGAUGGGUGGUAUAUCAAUUGACAAUUCAAUUGUGCAAUCAACAUUCUCCAUCUAUACUGAUAGGAUCUCUACAUACAACUCAACAAUAUGAGAUGAAGAGAACUUUGUUACUACAUUAAACAUUAAACUCACGUCAUCAUCGUCAUUUAUGGGUAGUGUUACAAAGUUGAAAUUACCAUUUCUAAGAUAAAGUGGAUAAUGAUAAACCAACUUCAACUUUACUUGAGAUGAGUCUUUGCUCAACGCCUAACUUAAACAUGCAAUUAAGUCAUUGAAUGUUGUGUUGCUAAUACACACAACCUUUGAUGAGGGAGAAUUGUAGCAAAUCCAAUUAGGUGCUUUGAUUAUAGUACCAUUAAUGUAGCAUAACAUCAUAAUUGAACUUUCCCCCAUUGUUGAUCCUAAAGUUUAGAAAAAAUACAAGACUUUGGUAAUCUUGAAUGAAUAAAGGAAAAUUCUACAUAUGAAAAAAAAAAAAAAAAAGAUAAUUAUAACUCUUCUACACAUACUUGCUGAACUUGAAAAAGCAUCUUCCCAAGUACUCUACAUUCCACCAACAAAUUAUUAAGACACAUAGUUGUUCAACUUGAAAAUUUCCCCUUUGUCAAUUUUUUUAUUUAGAAAGUGAAAAGAUAAAGAUAACAAAAAUUAAUUCUUUAGCAUCAACUUUAUCCUAAAAAUAGCCCAUUUUACUAUACCAAAGUUUGAGUUACAAUUUACAAAAUUAAAUACAUUUAUCAUAUUUUUAAAUAAUGUAAAUAGAAAUGUUUCUUAGAAACUUGCACAAUUUCAAGAAACAAGAGAAAAGAACCACUUAACAUAUGAAGUUAUUAGAAAAAGAAUGUGAUAGAAAGCAAAAGUGAAGAGAAAAUCCAUGGUGUAAUGUAACAAGAUUCAGAGAAUGAAGAGUAAGAUGAGCAGAUAACCUAAUUGAAUGAGGAAAAAAAAAAAGGAUAACUUGACAAUUCCUCCUUAAUAGCCCACAAUCAUAGAAAUCGGGUUAAUCGAGUGGAUGAGAUUAGGGUGAAGAAAAGAGAAUAGGGUUUUCAGAAAAUAAGAAAAUGGAAUGAUGAAAAUGGGUUUUUUUAAAAAAUGGAAUAGAGAUUUUCUAAAACUUGAUGGUGCUUACAUGGAACCUAUGUAGUAAAAUUUGUCGUAUUUCUAUCAAUAUUUUUCAAUGUCAUAAACACUAAAACAAAAAAACAUCCACAAACCUUUCAAAACCUCAUUAUCACAAAAUACCAAAUCAAAUUUUAAAAAUGGAAGAGUUAUCCUUUAUGAAAAUCUUCCUCAAUAAAUUUUUGAAAAACGUGUGUUUUGUGUUCAUGAGUAUAAUAGGAAAACUGAUGGACUAUUUGAAUUGAAACAAAUAAGAAAAGUAAUGCCUUUAUCAUUAAUGAAAUCUGAAAAUGGUAUUUGUCACACGGUUUGGUGUUGCUCCAUAGAAAUGACUACCUUGGUUUUAUAGGCCAAAUUAGUUCACAUUGCAAACCAUUUACCAUUCGUAAACCUUUUUUUUUUUUUUUUUUUUGUUUAGUCAUUCCUGUAAAUUUCACCAUUACCCUCCAACCAAAUUUGCAAAGAACUCAUCCAUUUUUACCCAAAUAAUAAAUAAAAAAAUGAACUUUAUUAAAUUGAAUUCUUCAUUUGAGUCAAAAUCCCCAAACUUUCAAAUUUUGUUGUAUAAAUUCUAAUCCAAAUUCAAUGAAAUUUAAAUCAAUGAUUCUACAAUUCAUCUAACUUAUUCAAGUUUCCAAAAUUUGUAUAAUAAUGAUGUGAAUUCAACUUUAAAUGUAAAAGCUUGAUAAGCCGACUAUAAAAUAAUCAAUCAAACCAAAACCAGCAAACCCACUUCUAGAACAAAAAACAAAAUUUCAACUCAAUAAAUUGGCCAAUCCUAACUUUCAUCUUCAAACCAAAAUUUCUCCUUCCAAAACAUGUCUACACAAAAACCUAAUUGAGCUAGAAUCAUCCAAAAUAUUUUCUACUUCACAUUCUUUAGAUUUCAUCAUGAUAAUGUGAAGGCAAUUAUUUUGUUAAUUUUCAACACUCAAUACCAAACUUCAAGAAAUUCAAUAGAAUGAAAAGAAAUUUAAAAUUUGAAGAAACCUUAGAACUAAACCAUCACGAAUACUCAACAUUCAAUGAAUUAAAGAAACAUAAGGGUUUUAAUGGAAAAAAAAAAUUAUAAAGGUGACUAAGCAUGGAGGCAGGACUAACCUUCACCAAGUUUUUACUUAACAAUGGAUGAGAUUGUUUUGUCACCCCACUCUCAUUUGCACAAUUCUAAAACCAUCCACCUAUAUAUUAAGAAAAACCCUAAAUCACAAAGGUUGAAAUAUAAACCAUGCUUAAAACCUUAAAUUUGAAAAUUUUCAAAGAUAAAUACAAAUCUAGUUAGAAAAGAUGAAGAGAAAUUCAAAAACAAUUUUUUCAAGAUUACUUUCUCGACAAUCAGCAAUGCUGAAAAAUUUUAGGAAGAUUGACGGUGGAUUGUUGGGAAUGAAGGUGACUUGGGUUUCUUUUUUUUGGAGAACAAAGCGAACGAGUGUGCUAGAAAAAUGAGAUUUUCAAAAAAAUGGAAUAGGACUUUUAGAAUUUGAUGGUGCUUAUGUGGUGUCCAUGUGACACCUAUGUGGCAAAAUCUACAAUAUUUCUAUCAAUACUUUUGAAAGUGCAUUUUUAAAAUAAAAAAAAAAUAUUAUAUUUUAAUUAAAAAAAUAAAUAUUAUAUUUUAAUUAAAAAUAUAUAUGGCUAUUUAAGACCACUUAGGUAGGUCUAAGCCCCAAUUGAGUUUGUUUGGAUGCCUUAGGCUUAGUUUUUUACGAAAAUGAUCGAUCGAUAUAGGUGUAGUCCCAAAACUCAAACUUAACUGAUACAAAAUGACAAAUCAAUAUAUGUGCGGUCCCCAACUCAAACUCAAAUUGAUACAAAAAUAACCAAUUGAUAUAGGUGCGGUUACAAAACUCAAACUCAAAUUAUAUGAAAAUGAUUGAUCGAAAUAAGUGUGAUCCUAAACCUAAACUCAAACUAAUACGAGAAUGGCCAAUUGAUAUAGGUGCGUCUCAAAACUCAAAUUCAAUUUAUAUGAAAAUUAUUAAUCAAUAUAGGUGUGAUCCUAAACCUAAACUCAAACUGAUAAGAAAAUGGUCAAUUGAUAUAGGUGCGGUUCAAAAACUCCAACUCUAUUGAUACAAAAAUGAUCGAUCAAUAUAGCUAUUGUCCCAAACUCAAACUCACAAUGAUACAAAAAUGAUAGAUUGAUAUAGGUGUAAUCCCAAAACUCAAACUCAAACUCAAACUAAUAUGAAAAAUAACCGAUCGAUAUAGGUGCAGUCCUAAAACUCAAAAUCAAACUAUAUGAAAAUGAUUGAUCAAUAUAGGUUAGUCUCAAACCCAAACCCAAACUGAUACAAAAAUGACCUAUCGAUAUAGGUGUAGUCCCAAAACUCAAACUCAACUAAUACAAAAAUGACCGAUCAAUAUAUGUGUAGUCCCAAACUCCAACUCAAUUUGAUACAAAAAUGAUUGAUCGAUAUAGUUCUAAUGUCACACCCCAAAACCCACUAUAAGGGCAUGACGGUCAUUUCACACCUUAAGCCUAAAUGCUCAAAGUGGAAACGACACAAACAUUCAUCUUGUAACUGGAAAUUACCAAUUACCAAAUUCCUAUUCAGAGUAACAAAAUAAAUAAAUUCUAUAAUCCCUAAUUCUCAAUUUUAAAAACUAACACAUCAACCAAAAUAUUAUUGUCCAAAUAACUUCAAACUUAAAUAGUUCAAAUGGGAAUUAAAUUUUAAUAUCUAAACAAAGUCCAAAAUAAAAUUGCACCAAAAUCCACACAAAGAAAAAAUUCCCUAGUCUAGCCAUCAUUUCUCGCCCGAACUAAGAGUACUUGAAAAAUUAUCAACAAAUGGGCAUGAGCUUAAAACUCAAUAAAGAACAUCAAUACAUUUUCACUGAUCAAAUAUUUUCAAUUAUAAUUACAAAUAGGAAAUAUAAUAUAUAUAUAUAUAUUCAUUUUCAUAAAAACUUUUGAGUUAAAGAUACUAAUACAUUCAAAAAUUUUCAACUAAACAUUCUCAUAUCCAUUUCAAAACAAUUUCACAUCAAAACCAAAUCAAAUACAUUCAAAAUAUAUUUACUCUAGUUAUCGAAUAACAAAAGGUGCCCAAUUAGGUAGGACUUCACAAAUGAGUGACUAGUUUCAAUUUUGUUUCAUUUAAAGUGAACAAAACUAAAGGUCAAUAAUUAUAAAUCAUUGACUAGGUCCAUAAGGUCAACUACUAUAACCCGUUGACUAGGACCAUAUAAUAUCAACUAUUAUAACUCAUUGACUAAGAUCGAAAAUGUCAUCAAUUAUAACCCAUUGACUAGGGCCAUAGAAACCAGAAUCAAACACUUUAUUUUAUUAAUUCAAACUUACAAAAAAAAAAAAAAUCAUAUUACCACAAUUUUCAUUUUUCAUAAACAAAUAAAUUGCUCAAAUAUGUUUUCCAGAAAAAACAUAUAUUUGAUCCAUGCAUAAAAAUAAAAAUAAUAUUUUUGCACAUUUCAAAAUACAAAGGAAAAUAAUAUAAAUGAAAUUAUUUAUUUUACAAAAUUUGCAUUGAUUUCCCAUACCUUAAAUAAACACUCAAAAACCUUAGAAAAUCAAUCCCGAGGAAUUACCUCUUCACCUAACAUAAAUAAAUAAAUAAAUAAUCAUCUAUUAUUAUUAACUAUUUAUCUAAAAUUAUAGGUUAAAAAAUCCUAAUAAUUUCCUAUGUUAUGUCACCUAUAUUAUUUUUAACUUCUUAAUUAAUAACAAUUUGAUUCGUGAGUUUCUAAAUUCUUAUAAAGUUGGUUUCUUUCCAAAAUUUAUUCCCAAGAUUCUAUUAAUUUAUUAUUAUUAAUUUUUUAAAUAAAUCUCUCAAAAAUAUGUUUUUUCUAUUUAUUGCAUUAAACUAUUAUUAUUACUAACAUUUCAUUUAUUAUCUUAAAACUAAAUAUUAUUAUUUUUAUUAAUUUUCAUUUUCAAUGCAAAACCAACCCAUUACCAUCUUAUCUUCACAUUCUCUUACCUUUUUUAUUAUUAUUAAUACUACUUUCCUUCAAAAACUAUACAUAAAUUACUUUUUUUUUCUAUGCAAGCAGUACACAAUUUGGCUUUUGUUUAUUAUUAAUACUAUUUACUUCCUUUCCUAGGUCAACGUUGUGGACCCUCCCUCGAUCCACCGGCUGGUGUGACUCGUGAUUUAAAGUAAUAAUGUGUGUUUGGAGAAAAAAUGGUUUUCGAGUUUUGGAAAACUCGUCCCUGAUGAGGGAGGGUUUUUGUUUGGAGUCGCCACUUACUUUUUAUUUUUAUUUUUGAAAUGGGGAAAAAUAAGUAAGAACAAAAUCCCUUCAAUGACUCCAAUUAGGAAAAAAAGGCCUGCGAAACUAGAUUUUUGGGUCCGGGGAUCAAGUUACCUACUAGAAAGGUACCUCAUGUGAGCUAACAUCCCUCUAGGCCCAAGAUCCGGUCUCUACUAGCGAAUUGGGUACAUUGGAGCGUAUGGGUUGAAGAUCAGUCAAUUUCCCCCCAAACUAUAUGGAUGAUAAGAUUCGUGCAAUUCUAGUUAGUAUUCGACAUGCUUAGGGAAUCUACAAUCAGAAUAAUGAUGCAUACCUAAGGUCCCCAGCCAUGCGCUGCAGAAAUGGGUUAGUCAAUAAGUACAAGCGUACAACAUAUGCAACCCCCAAAUUUACUAAAAUUUAGUCGCAUUCCUACUCGAAUUGAUAGAAUUUUCAGUCAUGACCGGACCCUAUACAUGUAACCUCUAAUCUUCACCAAACGACCAUCAAAAUGGAAACUUAAAAAAUUAAAUUUGGAAUUUUGAGAAUUUUGAAAAUGUUGGGAAUGGAAAAAUAAAUCCAGAGUUUUCGAAAUUUUGGAAACUUUGGAAAUGAAAACUUAAAAAAUUAAAUCCUGAAUUUUGGGGAUUUUGGAAAUUUUGGAAACUUAAAAAAUUAAAUUUGGUGGGCUUUGAGAAUGGAUUGGGAAGAUGGCCAUGCAUGGCUACAUAGGAGUUAUAGGAGGGCCAUAUGGUGGCCAUGAGUGAACCGUGGGCUGCUUGAGAGCUAGAGAAUGGUCAUAUGGUAGCCAUGGGUGAACCGUGGGCUGCUUGUGGUUUGGGUUUUGCGGAAAAUGAAUAGUAGAUGAGAUAGAGCGAGAAGUGGGUUUGGUGGGUAUGGAAGAUGAAAACAUGGGCAUGGUGGUGUGGAUGGGCUGUGAGGUUACAUAGGCUGCAUGGUGAUGGUAUGGAUGAGCUGUGAGGUUGCAUGGGUUGCAUGGGGGAGCUAUAGGUGAGUCGUGGGUGAUCCGUGGAAGUCAUGAGCUUUGUGGUGGGUUGUGGGUGUGUGGGGGCUGCAUGGUGGUAAGGUGUGGGUGAUCAUGUGGUUGCACGGGUGAGGUGUGAGGGAAUCCUUGAGCUACAUAUGGGCAAUGGAGAGGCUUUGAGAUGGGAAGAGUGCAUGGGUGGUGUGCAUGCUGUGUGUAGGCUGUUUGCUGGCUAUGUGCGGGUUGUGCACGACCUAUGCAUCAAUCAACUCACUAUGGAGAUUUAAUAAUCAAAUCUGUGUCAAUCAAGCUUCCCUACUCCUUGUUACUACUCUUCGUGAUGCUUCUGAAGAAUUUUUGCAUCAAAACCACCGAGAGGAGUUGUUUCCCUCAUCCAAACUAGAUUUCCCUUUUGAGAGUAAAUUGAACCCGUGUCUCAUGAUGUUGGAUCACAGUGAAUGACUGGCACCACUUUUUUUAAGCUCCCUUUCCCACUUUUCCAAAAUAGCAGCAGGACAUACAACUAAAUAGGAACCAAGGUCAUUGUUCAUGUAGGUCAGGUAAUAACAAAUACCAGCAUCCAUGCUUGAACCAUACCCAUAACCAAGGCAUUGUACUCAGAAGAAACACAUGGUGGUUAGCCACCUGAUGCACACCAUUGAGAGACACCAAAACCAUAGGAAAACAACAAGAAAAUAACAACCAAAAAAACAAAGUCUAAACACAAGUCACUAAACCAUCAAAUGAAGUUUCACCUCAUAAAGUAUCAAUGAGCUUACAAGCCAAGGGAGGUAGAAACCAUGGGUUCAGAUAGGAACAAGAAUGUGGUUUUGAGUUCAUGGAUAGUAAAACAAUGCUUUCUAGCAAAAAAAAAAAAAAAAAAAACAAAAGGGAACAGAUAUAAAACCAUAAUAGUAAGUCCACAAUCACCCCAGAAAAUCAACAAAGUUCGAACAUACAAAAAAUCCACACUCAAACCAAACAAAUACAACCUAGAAUGCAAAAAAAGUAGAGGAAGAACAGUGUGAUUGACCUGAGAAUCCUCCUCUAGAGCAAAGAGUUAUUUGGUUUCACGCACUUCCCAUCUUCUCUUGGCUGCAAAACUCCAAAGUGAUUUCCGCUUCUCUCAUUUUCCCCUCGGCUUCCUUCUUUUUUUCUUUUUUGCCUCUUUCUCCGCACCAACUCUCCCUAUUUCUUGCUUUCUUUUCCUCUACCAAUUUCCUUGUUUUCUCCUUUCUUUCAGACCUUACUUUCUAAAACAUCCUUUUUUUAUUUGUUUUCUGAUUCUUUUUUCUCCCCCUUUCCAAUUCUUCUUUCAUUUUUUUUCAAAAAAAAAAAAACAUCUCUUCACAUGCAUUCUGCCGAUUUCCCAAGUAUCAUUUUUUCACCCUUAAUUUUUCCAAAAAAAAAAAAAAACCAUUUUUCUCCCCAUGCAGUCCACCGACUCUCCUUUUCUUUUUUGCUUUUUUUUUUUUUUUUAAAAGGAAUAAAAAUAAAAUCGAAUAAAAAGAAUACAAUAAUAUAAAAUAAAAAUUAAAUGAAAUAAUAAAAACAUAAUAUAAAUAAUAAUAAUAAUAAUAAUAAUAAUAAUAACAACAAAGAUAAUGAUAAAAAUAAUAAUAAUAAUUAUAAUAAUAAGAUAAGAUCAGUAAUCACAUGCAAUUUUCUAAAAAUAAAAACAAAUGAAUAACCAAACAAACAAUAUCAGAAUAAAUAACUAAAUAACUAACUAAAUAAAUAAAAUAGAUAAAUAAAUGAAUAAGAUCAAGCACAUGCAAAUCAUGUAAAAAAAACUUGAAGGGCGACCUAAGUGGGCCUAGUGAGUCUAAAUGAGCCUUGUGAGUGUCCAAAAGGUGCUUGAGUGGCAUUUGGUGAUUGGAAAUGUGCUUAGGUGACCUAGGAGUGUACUUGAUGGGCUAGGUGCAUCUAAAUGAGCCUAGGGUACCAAAGUGAGCCUAAGAUGGUGCCCAAUGAGUUACUAAGGAAUUAUUGUAAAGUAUCAAAUGGACACGUAAUAGGACAUGUGCUAGUAGGACAAAAUGGAGGGUCUACAAACAUGCAAGUCAUUCUUUGGCCUUUUUUUUUUUUAACAUACCUAUUCUUUCCUACCUACACAUAAUUUUCAUCCAUGUUUUUCUUUCUUUAUUUUUUUUUCUCCUCUCAAAAGUCAAAACUCUUAACCUCUAUACUCACAAAUUUUAUGUAUUUUUCACAUAUGAAACUAUAUAUAUAUAUAUAUAUUUAAUCUACAUCUAUUCACUUGAAUAAUCAAAAUUUGUCAAUCUUCAUUAAUAAAUCAAUAUGCAUUUAUAAAUUUUCAAUCUUUUGAUCUAAAAAAAUUAAAUAAACAAACCCUAAUUUAAAUUGAAAUCUUUUAAAGAAUUUUUAAACGGGUCAAAAUUAAUGAACAAAUUUAAAAAUAAUAAUCUAAGGGUUAAAAUCUUACCUAUAGACUCUGGACUUCAAACCUUAGACUUCCCAACCUUUAGCCCUAUACUCUCUAAUCUAUGUGUAAAAGGGGUUUUUGAAUAGAGAAAAAUAAGGAAAAUCUAAUUUAUACCUAGGGCUUUUAAAAGCGAGAAGAUUUUUCUACCCUUAUUAAAUUUAUUUAAUUAAUUAAUUUUUUUCUAAAUUAUGGUUUUACCCCUAAAUUGGGUUUAGGGUAUUAUAUGCAAUCCCAAAACUAAGCUCAAAUUAUACAAAAAUGACUUAUCCAUAUAAGUGCAAUCCUAAACCUAAAAUCAAAAUGAUACGAAAAUAAUCAAUUGAUAUAGGUGCGAUAACCAAAACUCAAACUCAAUUGAUACAAAAAUGACUUAUCAAUAUAGGUGUUGUCCCAAACUCAAACUCAAACUAAUAGCAAAAUGAUCAAUUAAUAUAGGUGUAAUACCAAAACUCAAACUCAAAUUGAUACAAAAAAUAAAUAAAUAAACUGAUCAAUAUAGGUACAAUCCCAAAACUUAAUCUCAAACCAUACGAAAUUGGUUGAUCAAUAUAAGUACAGUCUUAAACCCAAACUCAAACUGAUAUGAAAAUGAUCGAUUGAUAUAGGUGCAGUCUCAAAACUCAAACUCAACUGAUACAAAAAUGAUUGAUCAAUAUAUGUGCGGUCCCAAACUCAAAUUGAUAUAAAAAGGACUGAUCAAUAUAAGUGCAAUCCCAAAACUCAANNNNNNNNNNNNNNNNNNNNNNNNNNNNNNNNNNNNNNNNNNNNNNNNNNNNNNNNNNNNNNNNNNNNNNNNNNNNNNNNNNNNNNNNNNNNNNNNNNNNUCCGAUCAAUAUAGGUACAGUCUCAAACCAAAACUCACACUAAUAUGAAAAUUACCUAACGAUAUAGAUGUAGUCCCAAAACUCAAGUGCAAUUGAUACAAAACUGAUCGAUCGAUAUAUGUGCGGUCCAAAAAUCAAACUCAAAUUAAUAGAAAAAUGAAUGAUCAAUAAAAAUGUUGUCCCAAAAGUCAAACUCAAACUAUACGAAAAUGACUGAUCGAUGUAAGACGAUCCUAAACCCAAACUCAAAUUGAUAUGAAAAUGGCCAAUUGAUAUAGGUGCGGUCCGAAAACUCGAACUCAAUUAAUACGAAAAUAACUUAUUAAUAUAAAUGUGGUCCUAAAGUCAAACUCAAACUGUUACAAAAAUGAUCGAUCGAUAUAGCUAUAGUCCCAAAACUUAAAAUUAAAAUAAUACAAAGAAUAAUCGAUCGAUAUAGGUGCGGUCCUAAAACUCAAAUUCAAAUUAUAAAAAAAAUGAUCGAUCAAUAUAAGUACAGUCUCAAACCUAAACUCAAACUAAUACAAAAAUGACUGAUGAUAUAGAUGCAAUCCCAAAACUCAAACUAAACUAAUAUAAAAAUGACUAAUCAAUAUAUGUAUGGUCCCAAACUCAAAUAAAUACAAAAAUGACCGAUCAAUAUAUGUGUAAUCCCAAAACUCAAACUCAAAUUAUACGAAAAUGACCAAUUGAUAUAGGUGUGGUCCCAAAACUCAAACUCAAUUAAUACGAAAAUGACCGAUCGAUAUAAGUGUGCUCCCAAGCUCAAACUCAAAUUGAUACAAAAAUGAUUGAUCGAUAUAGCUAUAGUCCCAAAACUUAAACUCAAACUGAUACGAAAAAUUAUCAAUUGAUAUAGGUACAGUCUCAAAACUCAAACUCAAAUAAUACAAAAAUGAUUGAUCAAUAUGUUUACAGUCUCAAACCCAAACUCAAAUUGAUACAAAAAUGACAGAUCGAUACAGGUGCAGUACCAAAACUCAAACUCAAUUGAUAUAAAAUUGCUAAUUAAUAUUUGUGCGGUCCCAAACUCAAACUCAAAUUGAUACAAAAAUGAUUGAUCAAUAUAGGUGCAGUCUUAAAAACUCAAACUCAAACUAUAUGAAAAUGACUUAUCAAUAUAAGUGCGGUUCUAAACCCAAAUUCAAACUGAUACGAAAAUAGUCAAUUGAUAUAGGUGCGGUCCCAAAACUCGAACUCAAUUGACCUAUAGGUGUGGUCCCAAACUCAAACUCAAGCUAAUACAAAAAUGAUCAAUCAAUAUAGGUGUGGUUCCAAGCUUAAACUCAAACUGAUACAAAAAUGAUCAAUCAAUAUAGGUCCGGUCCCAAAACACGAACUUAAACUAAUAUGAAAAAUAAUCGAUCAAUAUAGGUGCUAUCCCAAAAAUCAAACUCAAAUAAUACAAAAAUCAUUGAUCAAUAUGGGCACAAUCUCAAACCCAAACUCAAACUAAUAUGAAAAUGACCAAUCGAUAUAAAUGCAAUCCCAAACUCAAACUCAAUUGAUACAAAAAUGACAGAUCAAUAUAUGUGUGGUCCCAAACUCAAACUCAAAUUGAUACAAAAAUGACCGAUCAAUAUAAGUAUAGUCCCAAAACUCAAACUCAAACUAUACAAAAAUGAUUAAUCAAUAUAAGUGCAGUCCUAAACUUAAACCCAAACUCAAACCGAUAUGAAAAUGACCAAUUGAUAUAGGCGUGGUCCCAAAAUUAGAACUCAAUUAAUACAAAAAUAACCGAUCAAUAUAGGUAUGUUCCUAAACUCAAACUCAAACUAAUACAAAAAUGAUCGAUUAAUAGAGUUGUUGUCCCAAAACUCAAAAAAAAAAAAAAAAAAAAAAAACCAAUCAAUAUAGGUGCAGUCCCAAAAUUCAAAUUUAAACUAUACGAAAAUGACCAAUCAAUAUGGGUGUAGUCUCAAACCCAAACUCAAACUAAUACAAAAAAAAUUGAUCGAUAUUGGUGUAGUCCCAAAACUUAAACUCAAUUGAUACAAAAAUUACCGAUCAAUUUAUGUGCGGUCCCAAACUCAAGCUCAAAUUGAUACAAAAAUGACCAAUCGAUAUAGGUGCAGUCCCAAAACUCAGACUCUAACUAUAAGAAAAUGGUUAAUUGAUAUAAGUGUGAUCCUAAACCCAAACUCAAACUGAUACGAGAAUGACCAAUUGAUAUAGAUGUGGUCCCAAAACUCGAACUCAAUUGAUAUGACAAUGACUGAUCAAUAUGUGCGGUCCUAAACUCAAACUCAAAUUGAUACAAAAAUGAUCGAUCGAUAUAGAUGUAGUCCCAUAACUCAAACUCAAACUCAUACGAAAAAUAAUCGAUUGAUAUAGGUGUGAUCCCAAAAAUCAAACUUAAACUAUACGACAAUGACCGAUCAAUAUAGGUACAAUCUCAAACCUAAACUCAAACUAAUACGUAUUUGUGCGGUCCCAAACUCAAACUCAAAUUGAUACAAAAAUGAUUGAUCAAUAUAGGUGCAGUCUUAAAAACUCAAACUCAAACUAUAUGAAAAUGACUUAUCAAUAUAAGUGCGGUUCUAAACCCAAAUUCAAACUGAUACGAAAAUAGUCAAUUGAUAUAGGUGCGGUCCCAAAACUCGAACUCAAUUGACCUAUAGGUGUGGUCCCAAACUCAAACUCAAGCUAAUACAAAAAUGAUCAAUCAAUAUAGGUGUGGUUCCAAGCUUAAACUCAAACUGAUACAAAAAUGAUCAAUCAAUAUAGGUCCGGUCCCAAAACACGAACUUAAACUAAUAUGAAAAAUAAUCGAUCAAUAUAGGUGCUAUCCCAAAAAUCAAACUCAAAUAAUACAAAAAUCAUUGAUCAAUAUGGGCACAAUCUCAAACCCAAACUCAAACUAAUAUGAAAAUGACCAAUCGAUAUAAAUGCAAUCCCAAACUCAAACUCAAUUGAUACAAAAAUGACAGAUCAAUAUAUGUGUGGUCCCAAACUCAAACUCAAAUUGAUACAAAAAUGACCGAUCAAUAUAAGUAUAGUCCCAAAACUCAAACUCAAACUAUACAAAAAUGAUUAAUCAAUAUAAGUGCAGUCCUAAACUUAAACCCAAACUCAAACCGAUAUGAAAAUGACCAAUUGAUAUAGGCGUGGUCCCAAAAUUAGAACUCAAUUAAUACAAAAAUAACCGAUCAAUAUAGGUAUGUUCCUAAACUCAAACUCAAACUAAUACAAAAAUGAUCGAUUAAUAGAGUUGUUGUCCCAAAACUCAAAAAAAAAAAAAAAAAAAAAAAACCAAUCAAUAUAGGUGCAGUCCCAAAAUUCAAAUUUAAACUAUACGAAAAUGACCAAUCAAUAUGGGUGUAGUCUCAAACCCAAACUCAAACUAAUACAAAAAAAAUUGAUCGAUAUUGGUGUAGUCCCAAAACUUAAACUCAAUUGAUACAAAAAUUACCGAUCAAUUUAUGUGCGGUCCCAAACUCAAGCUCAAAUUGAUACAAAAAUGACCAAUCGAUAUAGGUGCAGUCCCAAAACUCAGACUCUAACUAUAAGAAAAUGGUUAAUUGAUAUAAGUGUGAUCCUAAACCCAAACUCAAACUGAUACGAGAAUGACCAAUUGAUAUAGAUGUGGUCCCAAAACUCGAACUCAAUUGAUAUGACAAUGACUGAUCAAUAUGUGCGGUCCUAAACUCAAACUCAAAUUGAUACAAAAAUGAUCGAUCGAUAUAGAUGUAGUCCCAUAACUCAAACUCAAACUCAUACGAAAAAUAAUCGAUUGAUAUAGGUGUGAUCCCAAAAAUCAAACUUAAACUAUACGACAAUGACCGAUCAAUAUAGGUACAAUCUCAAACCUAAACUCAAACUAAUACGAAAAUGAAUAGUUGUAGUCCCAAAACUCAAACUCAAACUGAUACGAAAAUGAUUGAUCAAUAUAGAUGCAGUCCCAAACCCAAACUCUAAAUAAUACAAAAAUGACUUAUCGAUAUAGGGACAAUCAAUUAUUAACAAAGUAAUUUUAAGGAGCAUGCCAAUAGAGCAAUUUUAAGGAACAUGCCAAUUUAGUGUAAAAUAAAACAAAGACAAAAAAAAAAUAGAGGAAAUGAAAAGAUAAAGAUUUUUUAAUUUGAUUUGAUGAAAAUUUUAAUUGAAAUAAAAUUAAAUCAUCAUAAAAAAUACUUUUCCAAAAUUUUCCUUUUUUGUUUGUUAGAAACUAGUGAAAAAAAAUAUUUUUUUUUCCUUUCUUUGAUGGUUUUUUCUUUUAUCAAUUUUCAUUAUCUAAAUUUCUAAAAACAUUAAAUACGUAUUAUUCAACUGAGGUUAUCGAUAAAAUUUUUGUCUAAAUCAUUUAUUUAAUAUUUCUUUUUUUAAUACUUUUAAAGAAUGAAUAUUAGUUUUUUUUUUUCUUGUAUCUAAACUUUAAAAAAAUAAUUUUUUCCUUUUUUUUAAUAUUUUUUAAUGAUCUGUGAUUCUACUAAUUUUACUUGAGCAUACUUUCCAUGCAUGAAAUCUGCCAAAAAUGAUAUAAAUGUGGAUGAAAAUUGUAGAUAAUAACCUUGCUUACAUUUUUUAACCAUCAAUGACAUUUGGGCAAUAUUUUUAUUAUAGCAUCUAAAAUCGGCUAAGUGGCUAAUUCAAUUCUAAUACUUAUUAUUUAAUAACUUAAGUUAAAUUAUUUUUAAAUUAUUAACUCGAACUUAUUAAUUAUUUUUUUCCUUAAGCAUUAAGUUUGUUUGAUAAAGUUAACUUACAAUUUAUUUUAAAUUAUUAAAUUUACAUAUUUAACCUCAUUAAUUUUAAUUAAUAUUUAUAAUUUCAAUAAUUAUAAACAACAAAUUUAUUUGUUAAGUACCCAUAUUUAAAAUAUUAUAGAUGUAUAAGAUAAUUACAAAAAUGUUUACUAUAAAAGAUAGUUGUGAAUGUAAAAUUAUAAUUGUAAAAUAUACUCUUAGUAAACAUAGAUAAAUAAGGCAAAAGAUAUUUGAGGUUAAAAAUAAGUCAACUAUUUUGAUUUAAUGAAUGAAGUUAUUUUUUACUUUAAGUUAUAAUAUUAAGUUGUUUUAUAAAAUAUGUUUAAUGUAGGAGGUGUUUGUUAAAACUUAAUGCUUAUUAUUAAAUAUGUGAACUUAAAAAUAAGUUUGGACCCCGCAUUUUUGCACAAUGUGUUCCCACUCGAUGGCAAAGCUCUUUUUUUUUUUUAUUUGAUGAAAAUUUGAUUUUUAGAAAAAAAAAACUUGAAGUCGCCACUUGUUUUUGUUUUAUUUUUUUAAGGAAAAAAAAUAAGAAAUAAAACCUUAAGUGUGACUCCUUAUUUGGAAAACAUGGUCUGUGAAAAACCAAAUCUAAAUCCAAGGGUCAUGUUACAUAUUAGGAAUGUACAGUAAAGACCAUAGUACCCCUCUAAGCCCCUAAAAAUGGGUGUCUACUAAAUAAAGUGAAGCAAGCAUGACAAUUAACUAGGAAAUCCGUAGAUACCAAAGAAAUGAUCGAAUAAUAAAAUAAAUCAUGUAUGAGAAUAAACAAAGUGGGAGUGAGAUCGUACCUUAGGAGCAAGUAAUGGUGCACUAUCAUAGAAACAAGGUUAGCUCAAGUAUAAAAUUAUCACAUGCAUAUCAAAGAGCAAGAUAAAUAUCAAGCAAUAUUCAUUAAGAAUGACAAUUGACAAUCAUAAGAGAAAACUCAUAUGUAGGGCUCCCACCAAAGCCCAAUUAAUUUUGCAUGAAUUAAUCUCACAAAUUCCAUUGUUAUGAAAUUAUGAAAAUCAUAUUCAUGAUUAUUUAAAAUCAAGAGAAACAAAAGAAAUAUUUGAAAAUCAAAGAAAAUUUAUGAAAGUGCUUACCUAAAGGGAAAUGUACCAAGUUUAUUUAAAAACAAGAUUUUUAGUAACAUAAAACCCUAAUGAAUGAUGAAAAGUGGUAGAAUUAAAAAUAUUUGAAAACUGAAGUUGAAUUAAAAUUAUUUGAAAGAAAACUAGAGUUUUGAAAUUUAUUUGAAAAUUAAAGUCUUGAAAAUUAAAUUUAAAAAAAAAAUUUGGAAUUUUGAAAAAAAAUAUUUGAAAAUGGGAGUUCUGAAAAUUAAAUCUAAAAAUUGGGAUUUUAAAAAUUAAAUUUGAAAGAAAUUGGAGUUUCGAAAAUUAUUUGAAAAUUGGAAAAUUAAAUUUGAGGUUUGGAAUUUUGGAAAUUAAAUUUGACAGAAAUUGGAAUUUUGGAAAUUAAUUGAGAAUUGGAGUUUUUUUUAAAAUUAAAUUUGAAAGAAAUUGGAGUUUUGAAAAUUAAUUGAGAAUUAGAGUUUGGAAAUUAAAUUUGAAAGAAACUGGAAUUUUGAAAAUUAAAUUUGAAAGGAAUUGGAAAUUUGAAAAUUAUUUGAGAGUUUGGAGUUUUAAAAAUUAAAUUUAAGAAUUGGAGUUUUUGAAAGUUAAUUUUGAAAGAAAUUGAAGUUUUGAAAAUUAAUUGAGAAUUGGAGUUUGGAAAUAAAAUUUGAAAGAAAUUGGAAUUUUGAAAAUUAUUUGAGAGUUUGGAGUUUUAAAAAUUAAAUUUAAGAAUUGGAGUUUUUGAAAAUUGAUUUUGAAAGAAAUUAGAGUUUUGAAAAUUAAUUUUAAAAGAAAAUAGAAGUUUGAAAAAUCAAAUUUGGAAAUUAUUUGGCAAUGGAAUUUUAAAAAAAUAAAUUUUGACACCAAAAGAUGAAGAAAAACAAAGAGGAUGACACAUUGAAGGCCAUACAUGGCCAUGCAGAAGUGGGACCCGAGAGUACCCCAUUAGUGAACCCACCCCACUGAAAACCUUCAAUUGAACUCAAAAGCAUAAGAAGAUUGCAACAAUUUAGAAAUCCCAAUAAAUAUUACCAACUAUAUAUUAGAUUGAAGACAAGAACGUCUUUACAAAUGCAAACAGACCACAGAUAAAUGCAAUGGCACAUUACAUGAAAAUCUUCUUUGGAACUCAAAAUAAAAUUAGAUGCCAGUUUGAUGAUAAAAAAAAACCAUUAAAUAUUAAUAGCUAUCUUACAUGGAUCUGGAAGCAUGAAUCAUUAUUUGACAAAAGCUUAAAAAAUCCAACAUGUAAAGAUGUAAAAGCCUACUAGAAAUGGAAUAGGAAUAAGCAUAACCAAUUAUCUUAUAGUAUGAUGAGAACAACAUCUCACAUCUUUCUCCUCCGCUAGAGGUGCAGGCUGUUGAUGCCCCUCUCCCAGAAGGUGAUGCUGCAACAGCUCCACCGCCACUAAAAAAGUCGUCACUUCCACCAGUUUCUUUCUUUACCAAGCCUGUUGGUUUCUUUCUUCACCUAACCCGUUUUUCUCACAUUCUCUCCAAAAUGAAGCACCCAUGAACCAUCCCUCUUUAGCUUAGUCCAACUCUCCUCAUUUUUCUCUCAAGCUAUUCUCCGUUUUAGUCUAGCUCCCCUAUUUUUCUCCUAAGCUCUCAAAAUCCUCACCUAUUGAAAACCUCUAUCCCACUCUUUUUUUCUCUCCCGAUCUCCCCUUUCAGCUACUGCCCGUUUUUCCCUCUUCUCUCCAGAAAAUCUUCGCAUUUUUCUUCCUUUUUCAACUCAAUUUAUCUUGCUCCCUUUUCAACUACCACCAGCUCUCUGUUUUUCUUUCAGUUCCCAUCCCAUCUUCCAUCUGUUCCAUUGUUCCCCGUUCAACAAAUAUCACCAUCUCAACCACGACCACGGUAAGAUGGUGAUGUCUGCCACACAUUUCAGUAGCUCAUUCCACCUGGAAAUCGUCCCCUACCCUUCCAAAUGAAAUGCCUAGCUUAUCCAAUCCAAAGAGGGGUCUACAAAUAUGCCCAUCUUCGGUAGAGUUCAUGAGUGUAAGGAAUGUGAACAUUGAAAUGAAAUGAGAGUUUGAAUAAUGAGUGUAAUGAAGUGAACUCUACCGAAGAAAAAGAAAGACUCCUAAAGGUACACAAGUAGAACACAAACUUGCUCAAACCAAUAAAGGAACAAAAAUGGCUUUAAAAUCCUAAGAGAAGGGUAGCUCUCAGAGUGCCUCUAAAGUUGUGUUAUGGAUCCAGACCCCCUCUAAGAUGUCUCCAAAAGUGACUCGAAUAUCAAUGUCAAAGUUGAGCAGUAGUCAAACCACCUAGGAACAUAGGUACAAACAUAUAUAGAUGGAAAACUACACAUGCACCAUACAAGAGCGUGAAGCUCCGGAGCACCAAUGAUACAAUCAAAACAUAAGCUAUAAGCUCAAAGAGUUAUAUCAUACACAAUGGAGGAGGACAAACUCUGGAACAUCAUGACUUUCAACGCCUGAAAUGUGGCUCUAAACGCCAAGACUGAGACGAAUGAUUUUGAACAACUAAACUAUGGCUCUGAACUCCUAUGGGAGGAAUGGUUCUGAAGACCUAUGAGAAUGGUGGCUCUGAACGCCUAAAACUGUAGAAGUGGCUCUGAAUGUCAAUGGAAAAAAAUGGUGGCUUUGAACGCCUAAAUUGGAAAACAUGGCUCUAAACGCCUAAAACUGAAGACAUGGCUCUAAACACCAAACUAUGAACGGUGGCUCUAAACGCCAAACUAAAGAGAGAUAGUGACUCUGAACGCUUGAAAUUGGAAGAGAUGAGUGGCUAUGAAUGCCAAACUGAAGACAUGGCUCUGAAUGCUUAAAACUGGAAUAAAUGGCUUUGAACGCCUAAAAUUGGAAAAUAUGGCUCUGGAUCGUGAGUUCAGGGCUCUAAAUGCUAAGAAUGAAUCUGGGUCAUAAAUGAAAAUAAUGACUUUAGGUCGUGAGCUCAGGGCUCUAAAUGCUAAGAAUGACUCUAGGUCAUAAAUGAGAAGAAUGACUCUGGGUCAUAAAUGAGAAGAAUGACUCUGGGUCGUGAGCUCAAGGAUUUAAAUGCUAAGAAUGACUCUAGGUCAUAAAUGAGAAGAACGACUCUGGGUCGUGAACUCAGGGCUCUAAAUUCUAAGAAUGACUUUGGGUCAUAAAUGAGAAGAAUGACUCUAGGUCGUGAGCUCAGGGCUUUAAAUUUUAAGAAUGACUUUGGGUCAUAAGUGAGAGAAACGAUUCUGGGUCGUGAGCUCAGGGCUCUAAAUGCUAAGAAUGACUCUGGGUCAUAAAUGAGAAGAACGACUCUAGGUCAUGAGCUCAGGGCUUUAAAUUCUAAGAAUGACUUUGGGUCAUAAAUGAGAAGAAUGACUCUAGGUCGUGGGCUCAGAGCUUUAAAUUCUAAGAAUGACUUUGGGUCAUAAGUGAGAGGAACGACUUUGGGUCAUGAACUCAGGGCUCUAAAUGCUAAGAAUGACUCUGGGUCAUAAAUGAGAAGAACAACCCUGGGUCGUGAGCUCAAGGCUCUAAAUGGAAAGAAUGACUGGAUUAUGAAUGAGAAAAACAACUCUGGGUCAUGAGCUCAAGGCUCUAAAUUGAUAGUCAAUCAGGAUGCUUUCUGGCUCGUGGUGUUAGGUCAAGGCCACUCACAGGUGGCUAGAUUAAUGAAAAUGAAACAUCUCAAUGAUGUGAAGGAUAGGAACGACUCUAGGUCGUGAGCUUAGGGCUCGGAAUGCCAUGAAUGACUCUGGCUUAUGAUGCAAUGAGUAACUCAGGGUUACAAUGAAUAACUCAGGGCUAUGAGCUCCAGCCUCUAUAACUGAUCAGCUAAAAAGAGAAUAUGAUACACAAACUCCAGGUCAUACCACUCAUGGGCGACCAAAUGAUGAAGGUUGGAAGACUUUGGGUUUUAAAUAAGAAAAACGACUCUGGGUUGUGAGCUCAGGGCUCUAAAUGGAAAGAAUGACUCUAGGUCAUGAAUGAGAAAAACAACUCUAGGUCAUGAGCUUAGGGCUUUAAAUGGAAAUAAAUGACUUUGGGUCAUAAAUGAGAAAAACGACUCUGGGUCGUGAGCUUAGGGAUCUAAAUGGAAAAGAAAUGACUUUGGGUCAUAAAUGAGGAAAAAAAAAUUGUUAUCAUCAAAAGCCAAGUGACAGGCCCGGGAACAGGAUCAGAUACAUCCCGGAGUCGAGAAGGAGGCCGAGAUCAGAGAGAUGGAGGAUGGGUUAGACCCUCAGAGGGACUUUGAGCAGAGAGGGCCCGAGCUUGACAUUCUGCUUCCACCUCAAUCAGAGGGCAUUCAUGUUGAGGCUACCUUCUCAGAGCCUAUGAUGAUUGAAUCGUCUUUCACAGCAGACCCUUCAUCUCAGCCAUCAUUUACCGAGCUACCAUCUCAGGCACCUCACGUUCUUGAUCAUGUGCCUUGGAUGGAUGUCUCCGCUCAGAUUAGCUCUCUUGGGACUCGUAUGGAGGAGCUUGCCUUAGUACAUGACUCUCGCUUCUACUUUAUGGAGGAGCACCUAGAUCAAUAUCAGACUGGAGUCACUUCUUGGUUUGAUCACUUCCAGCAGCGAUUUGAGCACAUAGAGGAGCGUAUGGAUCAGCAAUAGACUACCUUUGACCAUCUCCAGUAGCGCAUUGAUCGUAUUGAGAGCCAUCAAGAGAGUCAGCAUAAGGAGAUGAUGUCAUAUCUCCGCUCUGUGUUUCCUCCUCCACCCCCUCAUGCAUGUCAUUGUUAUCAUUGUCAUAUCUAUCUUAUUGUACAUGUGAGGUUUCCAUAUAUAUAUGAUAUGAUAUUUUUAUCCAUUGUUCAUUUUUCAUGUUUUACAUUGCUUCCUAUUAAAAAUCGUUUGAUUGAUCCAUGAUUGGUUUGAGGAGGAGAUUUUUUUUUUCUCUCCUAGAUAACCAAGGUUUGUCAUCAUAAGAAAAGGGGAGAUUGUUAGCCCAAGGGUUCUCCUAAUCGGGUUUUGAUGAUAACAAACCAUGGUUAAGUGACUAAUUGGUUUAAAUGUUUAAGAAUCUCAAGUAUAAACUCGAAAAUUCAUCAAAUGACCAAAUGGAUAAAAGAUCGAGACGCUUGGAAGACCUGUGAUCAUAGAAAACUAAUGUAAGAUGAAUGCAUGAGUGCACUUAGGAUUUUCACACGUUUCAUGCAUCUUUGAAAACUCGGUUUAUUAUUUAAAACGUCGAUUUCAUUAAAACUCGAGUUUUUAACUAAUGUACCUUAGGCAAAAUGUUUUAUAAUUUGCUUAAUAAUUUACCUAAAGACCUUGCCUAAGUGUUAGAAAAUAAAAUAAUCAAAAAAUAAGUUUUCGGGGCCAAAAAAGUCUCAACCGGUUGUGGUCGUCCAAUCGAUGACCGAUCGAGGGAGGUCAAAAAUCUUCUCUCUCUCCCAGUAGCCUUCUCUUCCCGGUCGAGGUGUUUCUCUUACCGGUCGAGGACCGGUCGAGGUCCGAUUGAGGUAAUGGUAACCUGUCAUUCAUUAAAUGCUUUAACGGCUAGUAAAUCGAUUGACCCCUAGCUCGACCGGACAAGGUUACCUUUUACUGUUUUUGACUCCCGAGCUUAGAAACCUAUAAAUUGAGAGCUCCAUUUCAUUUAUUGACAAGAGAACACUUGCAUUCAAAGCCUACCUACCUGUUCUUUAUCAAAAAGCUCUCAUUUCUUUCACAGUGCAUUAAAUCACCACUUGCAUAUCCUUUAGUGCACUCUUGUUUGUCAUCCUAGCUUUGUCUUGUAUUUGAGCCAUCUUUAAGCUAGGUUGAGUGAUUAUAUCUUGUGUAAAAGCCCAUUGGAACUGGAAUCCAAGUGUAAGAAGAUUGGAAGCUUGGUUGAAGCUUCAAGUUAGUGGAACCCUCACUCGGUUAGGAGGUUGAGGAGAGUGGACGUAGGCAAGGAAGUGUCGAACCACUAUAAACCCGAGUUUGAAUUAUCUAAGCUCUAUCUCUUUACUUUGCUUAUAUUUUGUUUAAAUUUGUUGUGAUUGAAAAGAUUUUAAAAACUCAAUUCACCCCCCCCCCUCCCUUUGGGUGUUUUUCUUAACUAAACAUAGCCUUUGUUUUCUCAAAAACGACUUUGGGUCAUAAGUGAGAAAAACGACUAUGGGUCGUGAGCUCAGGGCUCUAAAUGGAAAAGAAAUGACUCUGGGUCAUAAAUGAGAAACACGACUCAGGUCGUGAGCUCAGGGCUCUAAAUGAAAAAGAAAUUACUCUGGGUCAUAAAUGAGAAAAACGAAUCUAGGUCAUAAGCUCAGGGCUUUAAAUGGAAAAGAAAUGACCCUAGACAUAAAUGAGAAAAAAUGACUUUGGAUCGUGAGCUCACGACUCUAAAUGGAAAAGAAAUUACUCUGGGUCAUAAAUGAGAAAAAUAACUCUAGGUCGUGAGCUUAAGGCUCUAAAUGGAAAAGAUGAGUCUCGGUCAUAAAUAAGAAAAGUGACUUUAGGUCGUGAGCUCAAGGCUCUAAAUGGAAAAGAAAUGACUCUGGGUCAUAAAUGAGAAAAAUGACUUUGAGUCAUAAGCUCAAGGCUUUAAAUGGAAAAAAAAAAUGACUAUGGGUCAUAAAUAAGAAAAAUGACUCCAGGUUGUGAGCUCAGGGCUCCAAAUGCUAAGAAUGACUCUAGGUCAUAAAUAAGAAGAACAACUUUGGGUUAAAAGCUCGGGACUCUAAAUGCUAAAAGAUGACUCUAGGUCAUAAACAAGAAAAACGACUAUGGAUCGUGAGCUCAUGGCUCUAAAUGGAAAAGAAAUGACUAUGGAUCAUAAAUGAGAAAAACGACUCUGGGUUUUGAGCUCAAGGCUCUAAAUGGAAAAGAAAUGACUUUGGGUCAUAAACAAGAAAAAUGACUCUGGAUCGUGAACUCGAGGCUUUAAAUGGAAAGAAUGACUCUGGGUCAUAAAUGAGAAGAAUGACUCUAGGUCAUGAGCUCAGGGCUCUAAAUGGAAAAGAAAUUACUCUGGGUCAUAAAUGAGAAAAAUGACUCUGGGUCAUGAGCUUAGGGCUCUAAAUGGAAAAGAAAUGAUUUUGGAUCACAAACAAGAAAAACGACUCUGGGUCGUGUACUCAGGGCUCUAAACAUCUAAAGUGAAGAAGAUGACUCUAAAUGCUAAAUUAAAAGAAAAUGAAAAAUCCAAAUGCUAGCAAUGUGGCUCUGAACGUCGAACUAAAAGAAAAUGGUGGCUUUGAAUGCCAGACUAACUAAUGGCUCUAAAUGCCAAACUGGAGAACGAUGGCUCUAAAUGCCAGACUAUGGAGAAAUGGUGGCUUUGAAUGUCGAACUGAAGACAUGGCUCUGAACGCCAAACUGCGAAGGAGUGAUGAGAGGGAAUAUGCCCUAGUGUGGCGUGUCGUCACAACUCUCGAUCCAUAAAUCAUAAAGCCUGAAGAAGUAUCAUAAUAAUCUGGAUGUCUCUAACUCAAGAUACUCUGCUGGAGGAGCCUAUCGUCGUCUCAAAGGAACGACCCACUAGGGAGUCUCAAGAAAAAUAGUCCACUAAAGAAGCUAUCACCAUGUCAACAUAACAAUCUACUGAAGAGUCAUAGGUACUGAAAAUGUCAAAACUCAAAAUUCGGGCUCCUUUGAAGGCUCAUCUCGACAUAAAUCAUCGAUACUAUGACCAGUAAUGCGAAUAACUAUCCUUCAACUGAAUAAAUAAAAUGGUAACAGCUCCAUGAGAAGACGAUCAUCUCCAAAAUAGAAAAGGGGAAAUAUGCCCCAGUAUGGUAAUUGACGCAUCCGCCUAUGUAGAUAACCAAGGAAAAUAUGCCCCACUAUAGUAACUAAUACAUCUGAUCCAUCCUGAUAACUCGAGGAUAACUCAAUGGGGAUGUAUAAAAGAUCUGACAUGUACUCCACUGAAAUGAUGAUAAGGGAGUCUAUGCGCCUAAGAUAACUCCAUCACAAAAUCACGACAAUAUUAGAAAGUAUGAGUCUAACUGAAUGACUCAAGAAAGGCUCCACUAAGGAAUCAUCGUAAAAUAAAAGUAGAUCAUCAACUCGACAAGUAUCUCGUAAAUGGGGAUGAUCAUGAAAAUCAAUGGAGAUUUACAAAUCUCAACCAAAAUGGAAAUAUGCCCCAAUAUGGCAUUAGAUGUGUGGUAGGUCAAAAAAUCAGAUGGCACCAAAUCAUCCAUCACCAAGUGUAUAAUCCUAAUCAUCCAUUUCCACAGUUGAAUCGGAUCCACAAAUCAAAUAAGUGUCUCCCAAAAGAAGAAGCAUGAUGAUAUCUAAAUGCCGAAAAGUGUGAGCCUAACUAAAUGGCCCAAGAAAGACUUCACUAGGGGAUCAUGAUAAGAUAACAAUAGACUAUCAACUCGACAUGCAUCUCAUGAGUGAUGAGGAUCAUGUGACUCCAUGAAGAUCUAUAAAUCCCAACUGAAAGGGAAAUAUGCCCCAAUAUGGCAUCAAAUGUAUGAUAGGUCGGAAAAUCAAAUGACAUCAAAUCAUCCAUCAUCAAAUGUGUAAUCCUAGUCAUCCACGUCCAUAACUGAAUCGGACCCACAUAUGAAGGAGGUGUAUCCCAAAAGGAAAAGCAUGAUGACAUUCAAAUGCCAAAAAGUGUGGGUUAGAUUGAAAUGGCUCAAGAGAGGCUCCAUUGGAGGAUCACAAAAAGAUAACAAACAGGUCAUCGUCUCGGUGUGUAUCUCGUAAGUAAGGAUGAGCAUGCAACUCCAUGAAGAUCUAUAAAUCUCAACCAAAAUGGAAAUAUGCCCCAGUAUGGCAUCGAAUGUGCGGUAAGUCAGAAAAUCAGAUGACAUCAAAUCAUCCAUCAUUAAAUGUGUAAUCUCAGUCAUUCAAAUCCAUAGCUAAAUCAGAUCCACAAAUCAAAUAAGCGUAUCCCAAAAUAAGAAGCAUGAUGACAUCCAAAUGCCGAAAAGUGUGGGCCUGACUGGAUGGCUCAAGAAAGACUCCACUGAGGGAUCAUGAUAAGAUAUCAAUAGACUAUCAGCUCGACAUACAUCUCGUGAGUGAUGAGGAUCAUGUGACUCCAUGAAGAUCUACAAAUCUCAACCAAAAGAUAAAUAUGCCCCAGUAUGGCAUCAAAUGUAUGGUAGGUUGGAAAAUCAGACAACCACAAAUCAUCCAUCAUCAAAUACGUGAUCCUAAUCAUCCUUAAUCUCAAACACAUGUCUAAUAAGGGUUGUCAAAUACAAUAAGUAAAAAUAAUGAGAGAAUAUGAAGCAAAACAAGUCGCAGAUAGAAUAAAGAAAAAGAGAUGAAGAACACAACCAGUGGGAUGUGAUGAAAUGCGGUAGUGUGAUGGUAGGAAAAAUAAUGAGAAAAAGAUGCACCCGUAGGCCCAAGGCUCAUGAAACUCCUAAAUGAAGCAUGCAUACACCAAAGGGCCCCUAUCCCGGUGUAGAAAUGUAAGCAAGGCAAUAAGAAAGAAAGACUCUAAUGCAGAUGCGAAGCUCAAUGGGCUAGCAAUGGUUUGUAUGUCAAAAGGAAAUAACAAGGUAUAUGGCUAACCGAAAUGAUAGCCACCUAUCCUGCGACCAUGGUCUCAAACAUAAUACUUCUUCAGCUGAUCUACAUUAGUUAGCUCUGAGAAUCAGUUUCCAUUUAGACCCAUCAACCAUGCAGUACUCUAUGGGGCCAGCUCCCUAAUGAAAUAAGGUCGUUCCAAUUGGGUCUGAACUUUUCUCUAAGAUCUCUGAUCAAUCCCUUGAUGACCUUCAAAACCAAGUCACCUCCCUGUUGCGGUCUAGGCUUGACCCGUUUUUUAAAUGCACAAGUCAUCUUCCUCUUAUAGGCACGAACAUGGUCUAUUGUCGUCAAUCUCCUCUCAUCUAAGAGAUUGAGCUAGUCUAAUCGAGCCUGGGCCCAAUCUAUCUCUGAAAUCUGCUACUCCAAUGCUACCCUCAAUGAACCCAUCUCUAUCUCAACUAGUAGCACUGCCUCCAUACCAUACACCAAGGAGUAAGGUCUUGUAGAGGUGCGAAAAGAAGUCCAAUAAGCCCACAAUGCAAAUGGAAGCUUGUCUGGCCAAUCCCGAGAAGUCUCAAUCAUCCUUCGCAAGAUCCUUUUAAUAUUCUUAUUCGCAGCCUCUACCGCUUCGUUAGUCUAUGGCCUGUACACAGACAAUCUAUGAUGUUGGAUACCAUAUCUCUGUAAUGAAGUGUCAACAUCUACUCUGAAAUGUACUUCUCUAUCUAAAAUCAACUCAUGAUGAACUCCAUAACGAUAGAUAAUAUGUGAUAUGAUGAAACUGGCCACCCUAGAUGAUGUCAAUCUCGCAUAUGAAAAAGCCUCCACCCACUUGGUGAAAUAAUCGAUGGCGACCAAGAUGAACUCAUGACCACUGGAAGACUUCGGCGAAUCUUCCCAAUAAUAUCUAUACCCCAUACUGAAAAUGGUCAUGGCGAAGUCAAUGCAUGUAACUCUGAAGAGGGUACGUGAAUAAGGUCCCCAUGAAUAUGGCACUCUGGACAUCUCUAAACAAACUGGCAACAAUCCGUCUCCAUAGUCAACCAGAAAUACUCGGUUCUCAUGAUCUUACGAGCUAACAUAUGUCAUCCCAUAUGUGGUCUACAGACUCCAACAUGAACCUCUCUUAUCACUCGAUCGGCAAAGGCACGAUCUAAGCACAAUAGUAACAUACAAUCAGUUGAUCGUCUGUACAAUGUCUCUCCAUAUAUCACAAAUCGGGUGGCUAACCAUCUCAAUUAUCUCUUAUCCUUGGUCGUGGCGACCUCAGGAUAUACGCCAAGUCUUAGAAACUGAUAUAUGUCAUGGUACCAAGGCAAACCAUCCUCUAACUCUGUCUCAUCAAUCAAGCAAAAAUAGGCAAGAACUGACCUCGACUCAAUCAGUAAAGAGCGAACAACGGUAUCAGUAGGAAUAUCAAUCAUGGAAGCUAGAGUAGUUAAGGCAUCAGCAAACUAGUUCUGCACUCAGGCAGAUGUGUAUAACUUAAAUCAUCAAAUCUCCCAACCAGUAGCUUUAAGUAUGCAUGGUAAGGUCUAAGCUUCACAUCUCUAGUCUUCCAAUGACCCUAAAUUUAUCUCAAUACUAGAUUAAAGUCACCAAACACCUUCAUCUGUCUAAUCCCGAGCUCAAUAGUUGUCUCUAAUCCCAAUAUACAAGCCUCAUACUCAACAAUAUUGUUCGUGGCAGGGUGUCAAUCAGAAAAUUUCAAACGAGCAGAUCUAGGAAUAUGAUCACCAUGAAAGGAUAUCAAUAGAACACCUAUCCCGUAUCCAGAAUGGUUGACCAUACCAUCAAAGUACAUGUGCCAACCUGACAAACUAGUCACUGUAGCGAAAUCCUCAUCUAGAAAGUCAUCAACAAUAGCUCUACCAUCAGAAACUGGUAAUGAGGUUAAGUGAUCUGUAACAAUGCUCCUUCUGAUAGACUUCUGAGUGACAUAAUGAAUAUCGAACUCAGUCAGGAGUACCAACCAUCUCAUGAGUCGAUCAAUCAAAGCAGGCCUAUCAAACAAAUAUCUUAGAGGAUCUAAACGAGAUAUCAAGUGCACUUAAUACUCCAUCAUGUAAUGUCUCAAUCUCCGAGUAGCUAAAACCAAUGCCAAGCAGAAACGCUCAAUCAUGACAUAUCUCAUCUCAUAAUCAAGCAUCCUCUUACUCAAAUAAUAAAUAGCUCACUCCUUUCCCGAAUCAUCAAGCUAAGCUAACAUGCAUCCCAAGGCUAUGUCUGAGACUGACAAGUAUAGGAGUAAAGGACGACCUGGUGUAGGAGGCAUCAGAACUAAAGGUGACAAAAAAAUACUCUCUGAUCCUCUCGAAUGCACAUUGACACUGAUCAUCCCAAACAGUAGGCUAAUUCUUCCUCAAGAGUCAAAAAAUGGGCUCGCAAAUAUCUGUCAAUCUGGCGAUGAAUCUACUGAUGAACUGAAGUCUACCCAAGAAACCUCUGAUCUCUCUCUCAAUCCUCUACACAGACAUGUUAAGGAUGACUCUAAUCUUAUUUUGGAUCUAUCUCUAUGCCUCUCUCAUUGACCAUGUAUCCCAACAGUUUCCUAUAAGUCACUCCAAAAGUGCACUUCUUGGGAUUUAGUCUCAAUCUGAAUCGUCUGAUCCUCUCAAAGAAUCUCUCUAAAGCUGCUAGGUGAUCUACUAUAUUUCGGGAUUUCACUAUCAUGUCGUCUACAUAGACCUCGACAUCCUAAUGCAUCAUGUCAUGGAAAAUGGUAGUCGCUGCUCUCUAGUAGGUAGUUUCUGCAUUCUUCAAACCAAACGACAUCACUCUGUAACAGUAAGUACCCCACUCAAUAAUGAAAGACGUCCUCUCCAUGUUCUUUUGAGCCAUCAAAAACUGACUAUACCUAGAAAACCCAUCCAUAAAAGAUAACAUCGAAUGACCUACUGUACUAUCGACUAGCAUGUCUAUGUGUGGGAGAGGAAAAUCAUCCUUGGGACUGGCCUUGUUGAGAUCUCGAAAAUCAAUGCAGACUCUCACAUUGCCAUCAUAUUUUAAGAACAGGGAUGACAUUGGCCAACUACUCAGGAUACUCAACCACUGAUAAGAAUCCCACACUGACCUGCUUUUGAAUCUCCUCUUUCACCUGUAAACUCCAACGAGGAUGUAAUCAUCUCAACUUCUGCUUAACCGAUUUGACAUGAGGUAGAAGUGGCAAGUGAUGUUGGACUAUAGAUGGAUCAAGGUCCGACAUGUCCUCAUAAGAUCAUGCAAAAACAUCAAAAUAUGAUCUAAGCAACUAGGCGAGGCUAUCCAUCUCAUCUGUAGACAAAUCUAAUCCAAUCCUCAACUCCCUAAGUUGGUGUGUUGUUCCAAAAUCAACAAUCUCAGCGUCUCCUGUGGUAAGCGAAACUCUCUGAUCACUAGGACUCAAAUCAGAAGCAGAAGAAGAGUCUUCAUCUGAAUCGUGUUGUACAAUCUCAUCAUCUAUAUAAAAUAUAUGUGAUGUGGGUGAAUAAGGUGCAGAUAAAGUGAUGUCACAAGAGACAGGCAAAUACUAAAAAAGACUCAUAUCCAUAUAUGAAGAAAGAGUUAGUACAUCAUCAGAACGUGAGAUAAAUCCCAACAAUACAUCAAAAGAAAGUGGUGGGUCCACAUGCUCAGACUCUACCACAAUUGGGCUAGUAACACCCACAAAUACAUCAUCAUCAAGAGCAACAAUAGUAAGCAGCCCAAGAGCAGGGACAAGCUAAACAUCCUCAACUAUCUCGAUAGCAAGUACCCCAAACAAAUCGAGUGGAGAAGUAGUCGUUGGAUGAACAUCAUCGGUAAUCUAACUCAUGUCUACCAUGAGCAUCUCAUCACUAUACUCGUCACACGAAAUAGCCCCAUCUAUCGUGUUUGCAACCUCGACAAAUGUCCCAUACUCAUCAGUCUCCUUUGGAAAAUAAAGCAUCAAUUGGCUCGUACGAUCUGGAGACAGAGGAGUAACCAAAACAUAAUUGGAAGUGCCAGGAGCUCCGUACCUCAACUGUAACUGACGAACUAGACGUUGAAGCUCAAUCUUCUAAUCAACAGUAAGUCCAUUGGUAAUCGUCUCUGAAUGCAUCUAUGCCUCUAGUGCCCUCACAAAAUAAUAUACUAAGCUCAUCCUAUAUCGGCGAAUAGGACGGUCAAUUGGCAUGUGGAGCAAAUGAGCUAUGAGUCUCUCCUUGCGCUGAAGCACCAUGUAUCUGUAUUUGGUUUCUGUAGGAACAAAACCAAUAUCGAAAUGAGUAUCAUGGUCAACUGUGGCAAUGAACUCUCCAAAGCCAUGCUAACGACACCCUAAACCCAAGCCAGGUAAGAAAGACAUAAAUCUCAUCAUGUCCAAAACCACUAUACUACCAUGCUCAUCAAAUGGGAGCGCCACAUGAUCUAUACAGAACUGCUCAACCUCCACAAUCUGUAUCUCGUCAAAGGUGAAGCCAGUAAAAAAUAGGUCGUCAUCGCCAUGACUAAUCUCUAAUACUAGCUCGGAAGUAGAAUAAGAAUCUCUAGUAGACUAUAUAGUAAUGACUCUGCCCUCAUGUAUGAACUUCACCUUCUAAUGAAGGGAAGAUGGUAUAGUUUCUGCUGUAUGGAUCCAAGGCUGACCCAGCAACAAGUUAAAGGAUGUGGAAAUCCUCAAAACCUGAAAUAAAGCAGAGAAUGUGACCAAGCCUAUCUGCAAAUCCAAUGUCAAUGUACCUAAAACCUCUCUACGUGUUUUGUCAUAGGCCUUAACUAUUUAAGAAUAUGGCUCAAAGUUUGAAGGUCCGAAGCCAAGAGUGAUUGUUGUAGUUAGCGGGCAAACAUUUAGGGCAAAGACAUUAUCCAAAAAGGCAGAUGGAACUUGAUGCUCGGAACAACCAACAAAAAUGUAGAGAGAUAGAGUAUGGUUAGAACCUUCAUGGGGUAGAUCAUCAGCAAAGAAGACAAUGCAUGUGGCCCUGUCAGCUGUCAACAUGCGGAUCAAUCCCUUAGGAGAGGUAGAUGUCUCAACUCAUAUCUGACUCAAUGCCCUGACCAAUGCUUCCCAGUGGGAUGUAGAUGAUGCCAAAAGACUCCAAAUGAAUAUGCGGACCUGAGUGCUCUGGGGUUGCCUCAAAAUCUCAUCAUCCUCUUGUUUGGUCUCUUCUCGAGUGGCAUCGCUCUCUAAAGGUCUAGCAACUAUGGGAGGUUGUUGUUGUACCACCCUUCCCCCACAGAUGACAUACUAAACAUCCUGAGCAACCGUCUCAUCAGGAUCUCGACUCAAUAUAAAUGAAGACUGAAUGUUAUAGCAUGGGUGAAUCAACAGCCCAAUCGUGGUCAACUGCAAUGGUGGCGUGUCAUGGACCAGUCUAAAUGGUGUAGAUGCUUAUGAGUUUGAGAUCACUCCAUCAACCUCAUAGCUCUCAUCCACUACUAUGGGCUCUGGCUCAUAAUCAUCCUAACUCAGCAUGUGAAUGUGAUCAUCAGGCUCAAUGAAAUCCAUGAAAUGUAUACCGCCAGUUGGCAGAGGGUUAGUGGUAACACUUAGCUGACCCAAAUGAACCAAACUCUGACCUAUCAAGUCCUGGAUGGCAUGCCUCAAAGCAACGCAAUGGUAUGUGUCAUGCCCUGGGCCCUGAUGGUAGGAACAAUGUAAAUCCAUCCUGAAGUGAAGUGGCAUGGGCUGAGGUACAGGCCGAAGAGUUAACUGAGUCAACAAGCCACCCUCCAUGAGCUUUUGGACAGCUCGGCUCAAAGGUAUACCUAGCUAGGAGAAUUGUCAUGUCGGUCUCUGCACAAAAGGAAUAGUAGUAUGUGGGGCUCGGGGUCGAGGGUAUAAAAUAGGAGGUCUCUCUAUAACCUAUGCAACAAAAAUAAGUUAUGAGACUGGAUAUAGAUAAGUAGGAGCCAUGGAUCUGGAGGGAGCAGGUGGCCUAUACUGCACAUGAGGUGAUGGUGGGUAGUAGAAUCCAGAAGUCUGCCCAACUAUCUAAUAGUGUCUAGGAGGUCUCAACCCUGCUAAAAUGAUAGCACUAACAUCUCUUGAUCUCUGUCCUCCUAAAGGCUUCUUCCCUUUAGAGUCAUUAAGGAAAGACUCGAACCAUUAUCCUCUAGCUAUGUCCUCCUCUAUACUGUACAAAGCCUGUAUUAAAGAUCCAAAAUCUGUCUGAGGAAAUCUCAUCAAGUGUCUAGCAAAUCAAAGUUGCAAGCUCCUCUUGAUCAUACUAAUCUGAUCCAUCUCAGAUACCCUAUCAAUAACCUGUGAAAUCUUCUCCCUCCAGCCGUAGAUAAAUAAGGUGAUUGACUCCUCUGGCCUCUACCUCAAAGCCUCUAACUCUCUCCUCGAAACAUCAAUGACAAUAUUAAAUGCAAACUAUCUCAAAAACUCUCCUCUAACUCUCUCCUCGAAACAUCAAUGAAAGUAUUAAAUGCAAAUUAUCUCAAGAACUCUUGGGCCAAAUCAUCCCGAGUCCGGCGACAUGAUACAUCCAAUGAAGCAAACCAACUGUGUGUCACACUACUCAGGGACAUAGGGAAAAGCAUAACCAUUUAGGCCUCAUCCAGUCCAUGGGCCCUCAUAACCGUACUGUAAAGCCUCAAAUGGAUAUGAGGAGAGCCAAUGCACGUGUAUCUCUCAAUCUUAGGCAUCUUAAACUUGGCCAAUAAACUAGCCACUAGUGCUCCAUCAAAAUCCUCCCAGGUAAUAGCUUUGUCUGAAAUAUUCAUUUGUCUCAUCCUCUACUCAAGUCUAUCCAUACAAGCAUAUGGGUCCUCUAAGAUCGGGGUAGGCACUAUGAUAGGAGGCGGGGCAACCUUGGUCUGACUAUGCAGAGUGAAAGGUAUAGCAUGUGGUGCUGACUAACUAGGUGAAGGGGGUGGUGGUACUGUAGGAUCAUACUGUGCAUCAUCCUGGGGCGAGACCUGCUGGGUCUGCUGCCCAUAUAUCCUCUGACCGAGGAUAGUUAUAGCCUCCUGAAUCAAAGCCAUGGCCGAAACAAACUGAUCAACGAUAACCACCUAUGAAUCCAUAUCUCUCUGAUCUGAUAUCUAAUCUAACUGGUCUGAUACUCUGAUCAAUUUACCCUUAACCCUGAUCCAAGAAGCUAAACCCAGACUGGACAUAUCAAUAUUCCUACAAUAGUGGAAAUACUAGAUAAGAUAUAGUGUAAGGAAAACUCUACAAAGAAUGUCUAUCAACUAUGCAGAAAGGUAACCUGGAAGUAUUCAAACUGAUAUCCAAUUCUGAGCAAAUAUAUAAGAGACUACUACAAAGGUAACUAAACCUAUCACUACUGACCUGACUGUGAAGGCCUAUAAAUGCACCCACGUGUAGGAAAGGAAAUCCUAAUCAAAUGAUCUAAGGCUCAACCUACAAGGUCAAGGUGACUCUAAAAAGAAGAGAGAUGGACUUUAAAGGAUUCCUAGUACAAACGAUCAUACCCUCCGAUGAUACGCAACCCUCUACACGCCUCCGAAGAGACGGGCCGCUUCCAUGCAAGGUGGUCAUCACCUCCACACAUAUACUACCUCAACAUCUCAAGGGGUUUCCUAUAGUGAAAACUCUCACAACUCUCAGCACUCAAUAGUCAACUAAAGUGCACAGUGAGUGGUGUGGGUGCAUCCGAAAAACCUAUGAAGUUAAAGCAAAAAAAGAAACACACUGGUCACACAAAUAUCCAUGAAACCUAGCUUUAGGCUAUACAGGUCUUCAAAGAUCGGACUCCAAUCAGCAUCAGUAUGUCCACCUCCUCCAAAAUCCUCACAAACAUCAAUAUAGCUCGUCGCUAGACCCUACUCCUAACCAUUAGCUCGGUCAAAGAAAUAAGCACAUUAAAGGUUUCACACCUGCAAAUAUAAGAACCGAAAGAAAAGGGAAUGACCGAAACUAGAGGGUUGGAAGUAAGGGGAUAGAUGUGCGAUCCAAAUAGACAAGCAACAUACAAACACACAGGAGAAGAGCAGUCAUGCAACAAGUAGUCAAGCAAAGCGCAAGUAUAUCAUCCAUGUCCACACACAAGCCAAAUGAGAAUAUGACAAUCAAAAUGAAUAGCAACACGGAUAGCAUGCUCAAAGAUUAUCAAGAUAAUAUACAAGCAAAUGAGUCAAUCGUUAAGAUAACAAGAUAUACAGCAAUGUGAACAUACAUGUCAAAAUGAGCAGGAUAAUCAUGGCAAGAACAAAACCAAUAUACUAAGACAAUCAAGAGAAUCAAUCAAUAUCAUCAACGUGUCAAUGUCCCAAAUGGAUAUAGCGAUCAAGCAUGGAAAAUCAUCACAUCAAAAUCCUUAACGUGUUAUGAUCACUCAAGCAUAGAGGAGCACAAAGGGAAGGUAUCCAUCAACCGACUAAUCAAACGCCACAUUUCCUUCAUCUUAAGUUCAAGUUUAACCCUCUAAACAUCCCCAAUGGAGUCGUCAUUUUGUGGACCCUGUAUUUUCGCACGAUGCAUUCCCACUAGAUGACAAAACUCGUUUUUUGAUUUUUAGAAAAAGACUUGGAGUCGCCACUUAUUUUUGUUUUAUUUUUUUAAGGGAAAAAAUAAGAAAGAAAACCCUAAGUGUGACUCCUUAUUUGGAAAAAACGGUUUGUGAAAAACCGAAUCUGGAUCCAGAAGUCAGGUUACUUAUUGGGAAAGUACGGUAAAUAUCAUAGCAUCCCUCUAAGCCCCUAAAAAUGAGUGUCUACUAAAUAAGGUGAAGCAAGCAUGACAAUUAACUAGGAAAUCCAUAGAUACCAAUGAAAUGAUCGAAUAAUAAAAUGAAUCAUGUAUGAGAAUAAGCAAAGUGAGAGUGAGAUUGUACCUUAGCAACAAGUAAUAGUGUGCUAUCAUGGAAACAAGGUUAGCUCAAGUAUAAAAUUAUCACAUGCAUAUCAAAGAACAAGACAAUGAUCAAGCAAUAUUCAUUAAGUAUGACAAUUGACAAUCAGAAGAGAAAACUCAUAUGUAGGGCUCCCACCAAAGCCCUAUUGAUUUUGCAUGAAUUAAUCUCACAAAUUCCAUUGUUAUGGAAUUAUGAAAAUCAUAUUCAUGCUUACUUAAAAUCAAGAGAAACAAAAGAAAUAUUUUAAAAUUAAAGAAAAUUUGUGAAAGUGCUUACCUGAAUGGAAAGAUAACAAGUUUAUUUAAAAACGAGAUUUUUAGUUACUUAAAACCCUAAUGAAUAAUGAAAAGUGGUAGAAUUAAAAAUAUUUGAAAACUGAAGUGGAAUUAAAAUUAUUUGAAAGAAUACUAGAGUUUUGAAAUUUAUUUGAAAAUUGAAAUCUCGAAAAUUAAAUUUAAAAAAAAUAAGAAUUUUGAAAAUUAUAUGAGAGUUUGGAGUUUUAAAAAUUAAAUUUAAGAAUUAGAGUUUUUGAAAAUUAAUUUUGAAAGAAAUUAGAGUUUUGAAAAUUAAUCGAGAAUUGGAGUUUGGAAAUUAAAUUUGAAAGAAAUUGAAAUUUUGAAAAUUAAAUUUGAAAGAAAUUGCAAUUUUGAAAAUUAUUUGAGAGUUUGGAGUUUUAAAAAUUAAAUUUAAAAAUUGGAGUUUUUGAAAUUUAAUUUUGAAAGAAAUUGGAGUUUUGAAAAUGAUCUGGAGACCCUAGUAAAAGGUCACUCAUCUCUCAUACCUAACACAUAUCUACCAUGACCCGAGAAGCAUAGGAUACCAUAGAACUCUCACAUGAACCCUCGAGACUCCAAAUGAAUGACAAGAAUGGCUCAAGGAGUGAAAACCCAUAUAAAAAUCUCGCAAGAACCCACAAUGACAAAUAUACCUAAUAAACAGACCUCAAAAGAUGACAUAAGUGCCCAAUGGAGCAAGAUUCCAUACACAAACAUAUCAUUGCGCUUUUUUUUUCUUUUGUUUUUUUUUUUUUUUGUUUUGUGUGUGUGUGUGUGUGUGUGUGUGUGUGUGUGUUUUAGCGCAUGCUCUGAUCAUCAAUAAGUCAAACUCCAAUGGAAAAGAUAUAAGGAAUGAAUAAACUCUCUCAAAUCACUGAUGAAUAUAUGAACCCCAACCCAUGAGACAACCUUUCAAACUAAAAUCUCCAAGUCAAUGCCAAAUGAUGGGAUGAAUGGAGUUAUAUGGUUGCCCUCUUUGCACUAAGAUGUGAAGAAUCAUCAACCCAAGGAAGAGAAAAGAUAAAAUGAAGCAAAUAAUGAUAAAACCAAGAAAGAAAAUGGAAAUGUGAUGAUAGCAAAAUAGAACAAACGGGGUGAUAAGGAGAUGAUGACAAGGAUGAGAAGAUAGGCCUAUAAGUCUAAAGCUCAUGAGACUUUCAUAGCAAAGCAUGCAUAUACACCAAAGGGUCCCAACCCGGGUGUAGAAAUGGUAAUCAAGGCUAUAAGAAAGAAAUAAGGCUAUAACAUACCACAUGAGGCUCAAUGGGCUAGCAAUGGUUUAAUAUAUCAAUAAAGGUCAUAAGGUGUAAGGCUAACCAAAAUGAUGGCCACCCAUCCUGCGACCAUGGUCUUAAAUCUAAUACUUCUUCAACUAAUCCACAUUGGUGGGGUUUGAGAAAUGGUCUCUAUCCAGAUAUGUCAAUCAUAUUUCCUUUCUAGGGUCAACUCUCUAAUGAUAAGUGGUGUACUCCAAGUAAGUCCCUAGGGUCUCCUGGAAUAUAUGAAUCUCCAUGACCAUAAUCGGGUUAAUAUCGUCCUCAAACAUAUCAUCAACAUAAGCGGGAUGCCCCAACAUAAAUAAACCGAAUCUCUUCUGAACUCUCAACAAUGAAGAUCUCAGGCAUAUCAAGAGAGUGAACUAUCUCUGGCUAAUAUGUGCCAAGCAUCCGAUUGUCAUCCAACACAUCCAUCUUAGGCUCAUCAUAAAGAAAACCAUGUCAAUCAAAUCUCCGAUUUGAGAAAAACUAACGUCCUCUAUAAGAACUCUCAUCUGAUAAACUUUGACUCAUAAUCCACUAAACUCAUCAUAUGUACGAAGUCACCCUUAACAAUGUCAUUGACUAACUGGGUGGUGGGGGUGGGUGGUAAUGAAUCAUACGACAUCUCAUCCUGAACUAGAUGUUAUCUAUCUCACUAUCCAUCAAUUCUCUGGCUCAAACUUGCUAAUGUCUCUUAAAUAGAGUCAUGGUGACUGUAAUUCGAUCAACUAUAACAUGCUGAAGAUCCAUACCUGACUGCUUUGAAGCCCUGAUCAAUUUAUCUCCAACUCUAAUCUAAGAAGUCGAAUCUAAACUGAAGCGAAUAACCCUCCUAUAAGGUACAAAGGCACGAAAAGAUAAAUGACAUGAAGGAAACUCAGAAGAGGUGAAAACACACUAAUCACAAUGCAGAAAAGGUGGCCCAACUGAAACUCAAACAUGUACCAAUCUCUGAGCACACCAAAAGAAGACCAUGAAGAGGAAAACUGAACCCAAUUAUGACCAAGGCAGCUCUGAAGGUCCACAGAUGCACCCACGUGUAGGAAUGAAUUCUUAAUUGGGUCUAGGUUAGCCUACAAGGUUGAGGUGACUCUAUAGGAUAAAAUGGGUGGGUUAAAGGAUCCCCAGCAGAAGCGAUCGUACCCUCUAGCGAUACGCAACCCUCUGCACGCCUCGAAUGAGACAGGGUGCUUCCAUGCAAGGUGGUCAUCGCCUCCACACAUGCACUUCCUCGCGUUCCCAAUGGGUUUCCUAACGGUGAAGGCUCUCUCAUAUCUCAACACUCAAGGAUAAUCUAAAGUGCACAGUGAAAUAUGUGGGUGCAUCCGAAAAACCUAAGAUCUAAAGUGAGAUAGUGAACAAAGACAAGCAAUCAUACAAUCAUGCAAGAGAAAGGGUUGUCAUGCAACAAGCAGUCAUGCGAAGCAAAUAGAUAUCAAACAAUCAAAGUCCUAUCUAGCAUAUGUGAGAGUGAAUCAUGUUGAAGUGAGCAAGCAAUCAAGUGAUCAUUCAAGGCAAUCAAACAUGUUAAGAUAGCAAACCAAACAAGCAAGCAAAUCGAAUCACCUUGCCUAAAAAAAGAGGUAUCCACUAAUCGACCAAUUAAACGCCACAUUUUCCUCAACUAGUGUUCAAGCUUGAUCCUCAAAAUCUCUAGCGGAGUCGUCAAUUUGUGGACCCGCAUUUUUCACGUGCGUCCCCACUCGAUCGGCAAGACUCGCUUUUUAUUUGUGUAAAAUUAUUUAGUUUUGGAAAAGUUGGAGUCACCACUUAUUUUAUUUUUAUUUUAAAGGGAAAAUAAAACAAGAAAGAAAAACCCUAAAAUGUGACUCCAUAAUUUCUGAAAAAAAAACAUGUCUUUGAAAAACCCGAGUCUAGGUCCAGGGAUCAGGUUACUUAUUGGGAAGGUACCUCUAGGAGGUAGCACCCCUCUAAGCCCUAAAGAGGUCUUUACUGACUAAAUUGGGGAAAUGGGGCAAUUAAUUGAUUAAUUGUAGAUGCCUAAGUAAGCUAGGUGAUUUUAGAAAGUAGCAUGCUAAAUAAGGAGAUCAAUCACAACAAAGGAGAGUUAGGGUGCGUACCUAAACCACUUCUUAAGCGCUAUCAUAAAACAUCAAUGGUUAAUUCAAAAAUAUGACACGCGACAUGCAUUUUAUCAAGGACGAUCAAACAAGCAUCGAGACAAUCAAGUAUGGCAUCAAACAAGGGCAAUGACAUGCAUAUUCAUGAAAUUUUGGGAACGUACCUGGAUAACAUAUAUAACUCCUAAUGCACUUCCUCAAGACAUGGGGGUUAGAUAAUAAAUAAUAAAUAAUAAAUCCUAGCAUGCUUAUCCAAUUAAUUAGCAAAAAUGAUCAGAAUUUGGAAUAAUUAAUUAUCAUACAUAUCUUGUAUACGAUUCCUAAAAAGAAAAAAUGUAAAUAUAAUUACAAUAAAUAGCAGGGUGGUAGCAAAAAUAAAUUUUGAAAAAGAUUUUCUUAUGUAAGGGUUUCACCAAUUCCCCAAAUUAAUAUACACAAAUUUAACCUAAAAUUGUCCCAUUUAUUUGGGACCACAAGCUUUGAUUCGUGUUUUGUUUAAAACCAAAAAUUUUGUUGAAAAUUGAGAAGGAUGUAAAUCGAUUAAGAUAUGGUUGCAUGUUAUUUUUUAAAUAGAAAAGAGAUUUUGAUUUUAGAGGCUUUAAAUGAAUUUUAAAAAAAAUCUCUUAAAAGGGUUUUUUUUUUUUUUUGAGAAAAAAAGUUUUGUCUUAAAAUAAAGGAAAUUAAUUUUUAAAAUAACAAAAAUAGAAAACAAAAUAUAAAUCAAAACAAAAGGAAACAAAGAUCACGAAAUAAAGAUUUUAGGAAAUCUUGUCAAUUAAAGUGGUGAGAGUAAAGGCCAACCUUCAUGGGUUUCUAGUGGCCCUCAAAAAAUAAAUUUGACCAACAAUCACUAAGACAACAAAUUUAUAACUUCCUAAUCAAAUAAACUAACAAAAUUAUCAUCUAACAACUAACAUUUAGAUUUUAAGAAACACAUGAAUAACUAGAAUUAAACUAAUUGGAAUUAAAAAUGUAAACUUUUCCACACAAGAUCAAUUAAACUAAAGAAUUAAGAUCGAUAACACGUUCAAAUUAAAAAUAAACUAGAAUUUAAAUUAAUCGGAAUUAAAAAUAUGAACUUUACCUUACAAGACCAAUUAAACUAAUAGAUUUAAGAUCAAUAACUCAUUCAAAUUAAAAAUAAAUUAGAAUUUAAACUAAUUGGAAUUAAAAAUAUAAACUUUACCUUACAAGACCAAUUAAACUAAUAGAUUUAAGAUCAAUAACUCAUUCAAAUUAAAAAUAAACUAGAAUUUAAACUAAUCGGAAUUAAAAAUAUAAACUUUACCUUACAAUCCAAUUAAACUAAUAGAUUUAAGAUCAAUAACUCAUUCAAAUUAAAAAUAAACUAGAAUUUAAACUAAUCGGAAUUAAAAAUAUAAACUUUACCUUACAAGUCCAAUUAAACUAAUAGAUUUAAGAUCAAUAACUCAUUCAAAUUAAAAAUAAACUAGAAUUUAAACUAAUCGGAAUUAAAAAUAUAAACUUUACCUUACAAGUCCAAUUAAACUAAUAGAUUUAAGAUCAAUAACUCAUUCAAAUUAAAAAUAAACUAAAAUUAAACUAAAAAUAUAAACUUUACCUUACAAGUCCAAUUAAACUAAUAGAUUUAAGAUCAACAACUCAUUCAAAUUAAAAAUAAACUAAAAUUUAAACUAAUCGGAAUUAAAAAUAUAAACUUUACCUUACAAGACCAAUUAAACUAAUAGAUUUAAGAUCAAUAACUCAUUUAAAUUAAAAAUAAACUAAAAUUAAACUAAAAAUAUAAACUUUAUUUAAACUUUCAUGUAGAUUAAAAUAAACUAGCAUAGAACUAAUGAAUUGCAAUCAUAAAAGAGAGAUAUUUAAUCUAAGAAAAAUAAAAGAUUGUUCAAAAUCGAGAUUUAAAAGAAUUUAUCACAAACAAUUAAUUAAACUAAUCAACUAAAACCCAAACUAAAAAGAAACACUAUAUCAAAAAUCCAAAAACUAACCUAUAUUGUAUCGGAAAAAUACUCUCUUGAUAUGUCGAAAUGGCAGCCCAAUUAGUCAUUCAAGUCCUCUACCGCUCCCUCUAGAAAACUCUUGCGUGUGUUGAUCUCCCCUCAAAGAAAAAGUCUCUUUGCCAAAGAAAAAGUCCCACCGUCCUUCUUCUAUUCCUUUUGGUCCCAUUUAUAUGGCAACCUAUCCUUUUCAUGGAAUAUUUUAUUUCCUUUUGGGAUAUGUAAGUGGAUAUAUGGAAAGUGAUGUUUUAAUUGCAAAGUGGUAUUUUAACUUUUAUGGAAAGUGGUUUUCUAUUUUAUAUACAUCAUAAUUUAAAAAUAAAAAAAAAUAAAAAAAAUAUUAACAAACCUUUUUAAAGGUAAUUAUAAUAAUAAUAACUUAUCAAAUUGGUAUAAACAAAUAUAUAUAUAUAUAUAU
This 80814-nucleotide long non-coding RNA is filed under the name Vitis vinifera (wine grape). RNAcentral's name for it is "long non-coding RNA (VVIN_LNC002436)". The record is from RNAcentral. Lineage: Eukaryota; Viridiplantae; Streptophyta; Magnoliopsida; Vitales; Vitaceae.